This 61063-nucleotide long non-coding RNA is filed under the name Malus domestica (apple). RNAcentral's name for it is "long non-coding RNA (MDOM_LNC001224)". Lineage: Eukaryota; Viridiplantae; Streptophyta; Magnoliopsida; Rosales; Rosaceae. The record is from RNAcentral.
UUGGCAUUACCGUCUGAAUACUGGCAUGGGGGGUUGUUGUAGAACUGAACCCAAACGUAGUCAAAUAAGCCAGUUUGGAUUGCGCCGUCUAGGUGAGCAUCCGGGAUUGGACAUUGUGGAGCUGCGGCUAAAUAGACCGUUUUUGCCUGUGUGUUGUGCCCGUUGAGUAACCUGGCGAGCUCAUCAUAGAACUGCCCACCACCUAUAACAAUGGCGAAAUCAACGCCGUCCAAAACAGCGUCCCCAAGCGGGCGCGAUGCUGACUGACCACCUAGGAAGUUGUUCCAGAUGUAAUCAGCAACUUGCCUUGCAUCAUCAGCUGAAGUGAGAUUGUAACUUCCGACAGCCCCUCCAAUCGAGAGGAGGACUUUUAUGUUUUGGGAUUGGCAAGCUCUGAUGUCGGCGCUCAGCCCCGUGCAAGUACUACUGCUGGGGUCGCAGUGUCCGGCGAGGUUGAGGGCAGGGACCUGGUUGUUUCCGAAAGUCAUGAGGAAAGCUAUGUUAACAAACUGGUAGUUGCCUGAGUUGCAAGCAUCUACUAGGGUUCCUUCGUUGCCGUUUUGUCCCCAAUACGUUGCGAUUCCGGCGGCUUGAGAGGACUUGCAUGAAGAAAUGAGAAUCAAGAGGAACAGCGUUAGGGCUAGGGUUUGUGUUUUGGUUGCCAUUUUGUAUGUGUUUUUUUUGUUGUUGCUCAAAGUGCUUGGGAGGGUACAUGUAUUUAUAGGUGCAGGGGACUUGUCGGUGAAGGUUUAGGGGAAGAGAAGUAUGACAGACGUGUCUUGCAGGUACAAAAUGGAUGCCAGUCUUCUGCUUGGAUCCGCGUCAACCAAGUUAGGGCCUGUUUAGUCCAAGUUUCACUUCACAACUUAGAAAUUUGUGAAUUAAGUUAGGUCGUGUUGCACGUUCUUUUUUCAAAAACCACUCAUAAGCGCUCUUAAUAUUUUUCGUAAGAAUGCAAGUGUUUUUAGAAAAAACACUCGAGAUGCUUAGCGUGUGAUUUUUCUAGAAAGCACUUUUAAGUGUUUUUUCAACCUAAAACACUUCAAAACCCUUUUAGUUGUUUUAAAGACACUUCCAACAGACACAAAAUGAAAAAUUACUUCCAAAGAGAAAUAUAGCAUGCUAUUUGAGAGAUUCCUAAACUAAAUAGCUAUUAAGCGUGACCUUAACCACUUAAUUAGGUGAAAUAAAAUAUCAAAUUUGACAAACAAUCUGAUGAACGCCAUAGCUAUAUGUUUAGUCAGUGGAUGAGAUAAUCAUGAAACAAUACGUGGAGAAUCAACACAGCCUUAUCAUCGCCAAAAAAUUUCAGCAUGCCAGAAACACGACCUGGUACAAUACUCUUGGUACCUCAAUUGUUGUCUUUAUUCCUGCAGAACCACAUGAGUGAGAUGUUUGCUUACCAUGCAACCAUGAUGUCCAAUACUCUUGGUACCUCAAUCGUUGUCUUUACCAAAACUGGUUUUAUGGCUUAUUCUAUUGAUCCAUUACCGACCUACGUAUACCGUGACCAUAUUUGCCUUUACGAAUGAAUGAGUUUUCAUGUUACCUCUCACAAAGGCAUUAGUUAAAAUUUUAACUGUAUCAGUUAUAUAGUACGCUGUGCAAGUUCUAUUCAUUAGCAAGUACUUUGAUUGUCAUGCAGUAAGAGCAUACAACGGAGAUUGGCUUUGUAUCAAGGCGUAUGUCCCAUAUACAUGGAGUUCCCAGAAGAUUCUGAAACAAGCUUUAGCAAUGCCUUGACUGUGCUGAAGGUGUUUUGCUGCAUAUUUCCUAAAUUUAUGGCGACGUAUGCUAUUCAACCAUGUCAGCACUGAUGGUGCAUUUUCUGGUGUUUUGUUUACAGGAGCAAGGAUUGGUAAAGGCAGGAGAAGAGGUCGCACUCGUUCAAAGUGGCAGGCAACCCAUUUGGCGGCUCCAACCCACUCACAACAUUCAAGUGCGAAAGUUUAGGUGCAACGUAGAUGGAAAACUCGUAGCUUUUGUGUUGUACUUCCAGUUGAAUGUCGUGAUAGUUUCUGAUGAAAUUGGGUUCCACCAUAAAACCAAUUGGCAAUAUGGGGAGUAGCCAAAGAUCAUAUAAGCACAUAGUAAACCUUGUCCCUCAUCAAUGUGGGACAACUCUCAACAUACCCCCGCACGUGUGACGGAAUUUCAAUCCUACACGUGGACAACAACUGGAUGACGUAGAGUGCGUGUGGCCGUUGGGCUUCACACGUGGACAACCUUGCUCUGAUACUAUGAUGAAAUUGGAGUUCCACCAUAAAACCAAUUAGCAAUAUGAGGAGUAGCCCAAGAUCAUAUAAACAUAUAAUAAACCUUGUCCCUCACCAAUGUGUGACAACUCUCAACUCCAAUGUGGGACAACUCUCAACAGUUUCUUGCUUUGGUUGUUUAAUUUUACUUCUGUUGCACACUUUUGUGGUCCUAUCUGCUUCUUUUUGUAUCCCUCUUUCCCCCUAAUUAGUUUGGGUGUAUGUUUUAGAACAGUAAGUUGUUUCAGUAUAAAUUUGGCAGUUUGAAUGAAAUGUCUUAACUUUUUACUCAAACUGUCUAAUUUUUUUUAAUUGUUUGAUUGAGGAGACAGAUUGUCACCUUAUAAUAUCCGCAGCAUAUACCGUUUGUCGCGUGGCCGUUGAACAUUGACUAGGUUAGGAUUAAGAUUGAGAGAGUCUGGUGCUUUUGUGAAUGUUAUUUUAUAGAUAGCGUGAUUAUACAGAUGGCAAAGCGCUUGAACUGGACUCGACAGAAUGAGGUAUUUAUUAACUAAGGUCAAAAGUCAAGCAAAAAUUGUUGAUAGGGACUUCAUAAACAAAAUUAAACAACAUUCGUUUGUAUAAUUAUCAAACCGACAAUAUCUUAGGGUGCUAUCCACACAUUCUUUUUUAUCUUUUGCACACUCCUCUCAAUUUUUAACUGCUAAAUCAAAUGAAUUGAAGAAUAUCAAAUAACAAAAAUUAACAGAGAAUGUGUGAAAGAUAAAACUGAGUGUAUAGAUAGCAUCACCCUAUCUUAUUAAGAUAAUGACAUCCUAUUUAUUUGAUAUAAUCUUUUAGGGACUAACCAAAACAUUGAGUUGCAAAAGUCAAACUCUUCCGAUGAUGGAAGAACUAAAUCCACUUUUAUCAUCACAAAACUUAACAUCACACCACCAUACUUCGACGACUUCUUUAUCACCAGUAGAAUUUCCGAAUUCAGCGAAGCAGCCGGAAUAUACCCACUUACGGCCGCUCAGGAGCCGCCGGCAACCCCAAAAACAUCUUUCUCAUACAAUGAUGUCACUUGGCGUCUUAACAAGGUGGGAGACUUUGGGAGGACUUUAUUGGGUAUUUCCAAGUACUCGGUACUCUAUGUAUUUUAACCAUUAGAUCUUUGUUUAGAAAUAUAAAAAUCAAAAUCUAACGGUUAAAACAUCCAAUGUACCAGUAGUACUGCUCAAAUUUUUUUGAGACAUUGAAUGCAAUCCCUCCAAAAAAUUAAUAGGUUAUACAGUAGUACCACUUCAACCGUGAUACUUUCAUUCAAAGGCUAGUUUUAUACUAAUAUGUGAUGCUUUCAUUCCAUAUUUGAGAGGGCCUUUGAAUAAGUAUAAAGCUAGCCUUUACAAUAUGAGCUAGCUAGCCUCCAUACACACAGUGCCUGCCAAUCAUGUAAAACCAUAGACAAUGAUACAAGACAAUUUAUUUGGACCUAUAAUUUCUUUUCAUAACUACAUCACAUCGCCCUUUAUGUAAAACUAUAUUUUAUUCAAUUUCAAAAAUUAGUACAUGCAAUAACAUGUUUUAUCAUAAAAAAUACGAUAAAUUUCAGGCCUCGUUUGGCAGCUCAGACUGUACUGACUAUUUCUGUCGGAUAGGAUAAAUAGUCAUCGGAUAGUACUGACUAAAUUAGUCGGGCGUUUGGUGCAGUAUCGGACUAAUGACUGUAUUAUUUAUACUGUGUUUGGUAUUAUACCGGAUAGAAGGAAUCAAACUUAAAAUAAAAUUAAAAAAAAAAUUAAAAUCAUCUCUCUUGUUCCAUAUCUCUCCGCCGCACCCCCCCAAACUCCCUCCCUUUCUAUCCCUUCCUCUUCUUCCCCGUCUGCUCCCCUGAACUAAACCCCACCACAAAGGCAGCAACAAGAAACCCAUCUUUCAAAUUCUCAUCGUUUUUUUCCCAAUCCUUAUUUUUUUUUAGCUACAAAUCAACCCAGCAAAAAAACACACCACAAACCAAGAAAAUUCACACAAAGGACUUUGUUUUCUAUUAGUCCUAAAAAACAAUUGGAAGGAAAUUCACGGAGGACACCUUUUUUUCAACAAACCAAGAACACUCAUCGGAGAGAAAAAUGGGGCUGACUGUGAUUUUGGGCAUUAGGUUGGGGAAAAGCAUUGACAAAAUUCGAUUUGGAGGAGGGGAAGAGCUGAGUGACGCCUCCAGUUGGCGAAUUCCUCAGCUUCCAUCCGCCCCUUUCUAUAUAUCCCUGUGGAAUAUGUUGUUUCGCUACUGGUCUCCUUUUGUCUCUCUCUCACUCUCUUCUUUGUUCCUCUGUGUGCUUUCCGUCGGACGAGACGGGAAAUUAGUCGGCGAAUGACUGCAGAGGAGUGGCGCCCGGGGUGGAGAACUCGUCGAGGAACUACUCGAAGGCCCACUUUGAGAAGUCGUUAACGGCGGCUUUGUGAAGUUGGAGAGGACAGCGCCCUGACUAAUUAUCCCGAGCUUUUGGGCUGUUUUAAUAGUACGUUGUCAACCGUAUAAAAUUUGAUGGGCCGGAUAAUUAAGCGGGUGCUUAUUUAGUACGAGAGUGCACCAAACAACAGCUCCUGUAUUACUUAUCCUAUCCGAUGCUUUAUACGGCGUGCCAAACGAGGUGAGCGUGUAUUAGAAAUACGGGAUGGUAAAUCACAUAUUAUUAUAUAAGUGAAAAAAAGUUUUAUUUUUUUAAGUGUGCCUCCACUUAUAUAAUAUAUUGUACUACCCAAAUUCUGAAUAAGUAAAAGAUCUCUCCGAAAAAUACAUAUGCAUGUUUUAUUCAAAAGGUAAGGAAUGAUGCGUCAUCAUCCCUAAUACACUUUAUUAUAGUAGUAGCAUCAAUUGAGGCAGAGAAGUUAAUUAGAUGCUGUCCUUAAUGGAUGCACUAUAACCGUUGUCAUAGAACCUGUUCCAAAGCAUAACUCCUCCGUACUUGGGCGAAUUCUUAAUCGUUGGAAGAACUUGUGACUUGAGAGCGUCAGCAGGAAUAAAUCCGCCGCUCGGAGCGGCCUCAGGAGCUGCCGGUAACCCCAUGAACACCUGGGUGGCCGGAACCGAGGCCCAUUGGUUCCAACUGCUCAAAAGAGCGUCGGCAUUACCGUCCGCAUACUGGCAUUGGGGGUUGUUGUAGAACUGGACCCAAACGUAGUCAAAUAAACCGGUUUGGAUAGCGCCGUCUAGGUGAGCAUCCGGGAUCGGACAUUGUGGAGCUGCGGCUAAAUAGACCGUUUUUGCCUGUCCGUUGUGUCCGUUGAGUGACUUGGCGAGCUCAUCAUAGAACUGCGCACCACCCGCCUCAAUGUCGAAAUCAACGCCGUCCAAAACCGCGUCCCCAAGCGGGCGCGAAGCUGACUGACCACCUAAGAAGUUGUUCCAGAUGUAAUCAGCAACUUGCCUUGCAUCAUCAGCUGAAGUGAGAGAGUAACUUCCGGCGGCCCCUCCAAUCGAGAGGAGGACUUUUAUGUUUUUUGAUUGGCAGGUUCUGAUGUCGGCACUCAGCCCGGUGCAAGUACCACUAGCGGGGUCGCAGUGGCCGGCGAGGUUUAGGACAGGGGUUUGGUUGUUUCCGAAAGUAGUGAGGAAAGCUAUGUUAACAAACUGGUAGUUGCCUGAGUUGCAAGCAUCUGCUAGGGUUCCUUCGUUUCCGUUUUGGCCCCAAUAGACCGCAAUUCCGGCGGCUUGGGAGGACUUGCAUGAAGAAAUGAGGAUCAAGAGGGACAGCGUUAGGGCUAGGGUUUGUGUUUUGGAUGCCAUUUUUAUAUGUUUUUUUGGGUUGUUGUUCAAAGUGCUUGGGAGUGGACAUGUACUUAUAGGUGCAGGGGACUUAUCGGUUAAGGUUUAGGGGAAGAAAAGUAUGACAGACGUGUUCUGCAGGUAAGAGUCUUCUGCUUGCAACCGCGUCAAUCACGUUAGGGCCUGUUUAUUUAGUCCAAGUUUCACUUUACAACUUAGAACACGUCAAUUAAAUUAGGUCGGGUUGAAAAUGCAUUUUCCAAAACCACUUUCACACAUAAGCGCUUCUUAUAUUUUCAUAAAAAUGCAAGUGGUUUUAUAAAAAAAAAAACUUGAGGUGUUUGGCGUGUGUUUUUUCAGAAAGCACUUAAAAUAUUUUUUCAACCUAAAAUCACUGAAUUUUUUAUGAUUUCAAAGUUCUUUUAAUUGUUUUGAAGGCACUUCCAACUGAUAUUUUAUAAAAAAUUACUUCUAGAGAGAAUUAUAGCAUGCUAAUUGAGAGAUUCCGAAACUAAAAAGCCAUCAAAUUUGCCAAAAAAAAAAUCUGAUGAGACAAUACGUGGAGAAUCAACACAGCUGUAUCAUCACCAAAAAUUUUCAGUGUGCAGAAAUACAGUCCGGUACAAAGUGUUAUAAUAAAAUUGGUUGAUUUUUUUUUUUAAGUUUCCAACUAAUUAUAUUAUUACACUUGAUGUACCGAUCCGUAUUUCUGAAAAAUCUCUCCUUACCAUCACAUCACAUGAAUGUUUUGGAAAGUUCGUAGAUAGAAACCAAAAUCUCUCCUUAUCAUCACAUCACAUCACAUGAACGUUUGGGAAGCUCGUCGAUAGAAACCAAAUGGAAUAUGCUUUUAGCUGAGGAUGGCCAUUGGCCAGGGACUUCGGUCUAAUCACGAUGCUUUAAUUUCGCAGUCGGAAAAAAACUUUCGAAUAAAAUUUAGGGUAUAUUUAGGAAGUGUUUUUAAAUGAUUGAAAACAUUUUUAGAAAUAUUUUUUUUUAAAAACGUUUCCAGUCAUUUAAAAAAACUUCUUAAACGAGUUUAAUUACUUGUGUAUGGGGCAACAUUUAGCUAGUAAUGGUUCUCAUGAAUUGGAUUGUGGUGAUGUGAAAAUGGGUUUGGGUUAGUUUAGUUUAGAGUUUAUAUUUACUAUCCGGUGCAUGCAAAUGGAAUGUCAAAUCUUUCAGAGAAAUUUUGAUAGAACUGCCACUUAGGGCAACACAUAUUAAACAAACAAAUGUAGGGUUGGAGAAGACUAAAAUACAUGAAUUCUCGUGUUUUCAUAAAUGUGAUCUAAAAAUAAUAUAGCAUGUGCCCUGAGAACAACGUGAUCAGUACCUAAUCGAAGUUCUCUAGUGUGGAAAGAUUCAAGAGGGGUGUGACGCUUCCGACAAAUAAAAAAUCACACAUUUUCGAAUUCGGAAAUGUAUAGAACAGAGCAGAUAUCACUAGAUGAAUGUUAACUGUUUUACAGAAAAUUUAUAAGACAAUUAGAGUUAAACAACAGAAGCUUGCACUUUAAAUGGUUAUGUCCAGCUGCUUUUGGUAUGUAUAUGCUUUUUCCAUGUCUCGAUGUAGUUCCAGUUCACUGCUCAUCAUCCUGGAACAAUGCUUUCGAAACAGAGCCGCACGGCUGGCUACUGUAUUCUCGGUAAUCUUCAUCGUCAUCACAGCUGCGUUGCGAGCAUGAACGUUUGAUUCCUGUCAUUGGGGUUUCACAGACUCUGUCAUCGCAUGAACCUCUAUGAUCCUUCCUUUUAAACAGCUUUCGAAGCGGAUUUGACUUUGGUUUCAAUGGUUUCAGCCGUUUGGGGGCCCAAACUCUCUGCAGAUCGGGCAUCCAUCUUGUGGAUGAAGCGAAUCUCCAAGCCCUCUCUCUCCUCUCUUGAGCUUCAAGUAACUUGCGAGCAUGGUCGUCCUAUUGUUUGAUCUCUUCGACGCUUGGUCUUCCAAUAUCAGUUUUCAGCGGACGAAGAGACUCACCUUCUGCUUGUAAUGAGUCCCAGAUUCUAUAACUUCCAUCCACUUCGACACUCUUCGGUUUUUCUUUACAGGAUCGAUUGCUAUCCUCACUGUUGAGUAAACUAUUAGGGAGUUCUUCCUCAUCAGCAAACAGUAACAAAUCCAUUUUCGUAUAGAUUUUGUGAACCACAUCUUCAAGUGUCUCACAGUACCUGAAAAAUGUCCAAAUUCAGGCUCUUGACAAUUUGACAAAGCAUUUCAUUGAAAAGGUUCAAUCCUUACUACCAUUAUAAUUUAUAAUGUGUUGUAUGGUUUACCUCGUAAUGGUGCUAAGUUAUUUCUACAGUUUUGGGGCAUUUUUUUUGCAGUUUCGGUGCAAUUUUGAUGCAGUUCUUUUUUUUUGCAAUUUUGCUGCAUUGUUGUUGCUGUUUUUGCUGCAUGUUCAUUGAUUAAUAAAAAGGUCGUACCCAGUGCACAAGGCUCCCUUGAUUAAUAUAUGAGAAAAAUAAGACUGUCAUAUGCUUAAAUAGGUGUAUAUUUUAAAUUAUACAUUUUUUUUUCAAAAAUCGAACCGAAACUGUUUGAAACCGUACCGCACCAAACCAAACGGUUUGGUUUCAUUUCAGUUUUGGCUUCAAAACUGCACCGAACCGCACCGCAAAAAAAUUUGGUUUCGGUUGCGGUUUCACUCGAAACCGCACCGAAGCGCACCGCGCCCACCCCUACAGGGGACUUGUCGAUGAAGGUUUAGGGGAAGAGAAGUAUGACAGACGUGUCUUGCGGGUACAAAAUGGGUGCCAGUCUUCUGCAUGCAUGGAACCGCGUGAACCAAGUUAGGGCCUGUUUAGUCCAAGUUUCACUUGACAACUUAGAAAUUUGUCAAUUAAGUUAGGUCGUGUUGGAAAUUCUUUUUUCAAAAACCACUCAUAAGUGCUUUUAAUAUUUUUCGUAAGAAUGCAAGCGUUUUUAGAAAACACACUCAAGGUGCUUAGCGUGUGCUUUUUUUUAGAAAGCACUUUUAAGUGUUUUUUCAACCUAAAAACACUUGUUUUAAAGACACUUCCAACAAACACAUAAUUAAUGGAAAAUUACUUCCAGAGAGAAAUAUAGCAUGCUAUUUGAGAGAUUCCAAAACUAAAAGCUAAAUAGUUAUUAAGCGUGACCUUAACCAAGGUGAAAUAAAAUAUCAAAUUUGACAAACAAUCUGAUGAACGUCAUAGCUAUAUGUAUAGUCAGUAGAUGAGAUAAUCAUGAAACAAAACGUGGAGAAUCAACACAGCCUUAUCAUGGCCAAAAUUUGUCUGUGUGCCAGAACCACGGCCUAGUACACUAAAAGUGUCAUAAUAGAAUUGGUUGGAAAUUCAUUCGGUUACAACUGACUCUGAAGUCUUUAUUUCUGCACAACCACAUAGUGAGAUGUUUGCUUACCAUGCAACCAUGAUGUCCAAUACUCUUGGUACCUCAAUCGUUGUCUUUACCAAAACUGGUUUUAUGGCUAUUCUAUUGAGCCAUUACCGACCUACCGGGAUCAUAUUUGCCUUCACGAAUGAGUGAGUUUUCAAUUUACCUGUCACAAAGGCAUUUAGUUAAAAUUUGUAACUGUAUCAGUCAAAAUAUGCUGUGAAAGUUCUAUUCAUUAGCAAGUACUUUGAUUGCCAUGCAGUAAGAGCAUACAACGGAGAUUGGCUUUGUAUCAAGGCGUAUGUCCAAUAUAUACAUGGAGUUCACAGAAGAUUCUGAAACAAGCUUUAGCAAUGCCUUGACUGUGCUGAAGGUGAUGUUUUGCUGCAGAUUUCCUAAAUUUAUGGCGACGUAUGCUAUUCAACCAUGCCAGCACUGAUGGUUCAUUUUCUGUUGUUCUGUUUGCAGGAGCAAGGAUUGGUAAAGGCAGGAGAAGAGGUCGCACUCGUUCAAAGUGGCAGGCAACCCAUUUGGCGGCUCCAAUCCACUCACAAAAUUCAAGUGCGCAAAAUUUAGGUGCAACGGAGAUGGAAUAAUCGCCCUCGUAACAUAGAUUUCUUCGUCUACACUACAAAAGUUUCAAAUGAUAGCUUUUGUGUUGUACUUCCAGCGGAAUUGUCGUGAUACUUUCUUCCUUUGGUUGUUUUUUUUCUUCUGUUGCACACUUUUGUGAUCCUAUCAAUGUGCUUCUUUUUGUUUCCGAUUUCCCCCUAGUUAAUUUUGGCGUAUGUUUUAGAACUGUAAGUUGUUAAAGUAUAAAUUUGGCAGUUUGAAUGCAAACUGUCUAAAUUUUUUUAAUAGUUCGAUUGAGGAAACAGAUCGUCACACUCACAUUCUAAUAUCCGCCGCUUACCGUUUGUCGUGUGGCCGUUUAACACUGACUAAGGUAGAUCUCACAUCAGAUCAGCACGGGACUAGGUUCCGUGCUCUUGUGAAAGUUAUUCUACGUACGACGUGAUUCUACACAUGGUUUGUGGUUUGGGCUUGAACCGGUCUCUACGAAAUGAGGCAGAUUUUUUGUUUAUUAACAAAGGUCAAAAGUCAAACAAAAAUUGUUGAUACAGACUAUCUUAAACAAAAUUAAACAACAUUCGCUUGAAUAAUUAUCAAAUUGACAAUGUCUCAUAGGUGAUGCUGUCCAUACACUCUUUUUAUUUUUCACUCACUCCUCCCAAUUUUUAACCGUCAGAUCGAAUAAAUUAAAGAUGAUCAAAAGACAAAAAUUAACUGAAGAUAUGUGAAAGAAAAAACAAAAUGUAUAUAUAGCAUCACCUAUCUUAUUAGGAUAAUGACAUCCGAUUUAUUUGAUAUAAUCUUUUAGGGAAACCAAAACGUUGAGUUACAAAAGUCAAACUCUUCCGAUGAUGGAAUAACUAUAUCCAUUUUUAUCAUCACAAAACUCGGACCCUAACAUCACACCACCAUACUUCGACGACUUCUUUAUCACCAGUAGAAUUUCCGAAUUCAGCAAAGCAGCCACAAUAUACCCACUUCUGGCCACCUCAGGAGUGGCCGGCAACCCCAAAAACAUCUUCCCUUUCUAAUACAUUAAUGAUGUCAGUUGGCGUCUUAACAAGAUGGGAGACUUUGGAGUCGCUUUAUUGGGAUCUCCCGAGUACUCGGUACUCUAUGUAUUUUAACCGUUAAAUCUUUGUUUAAAAAUAUAAAAAUCAAAUUCUAACAGUUAAAAUAUUCAAAAUAUCCAUAGUACCGCUCGAAAUUUUUUGAGACAUUAAAUGCAAUCCCUCCAAGAAAUCAUCUCAAAUUUUUUUGAGACAUUAAAUGCGAUCUCUCCAAGAAAUUAUUAGAUUAUACCGUAGUACCAUCUCAGCCGUGGUAGUUUCAUCCAAAGGCUAGCCUUUACAAUAUGAGCUAGCCAGCCUUCAUGCACACAGUGCCUGCCAAUCAUGUAAAACCAUUGACAAUGAUACAUGACAAUUUAUUUGGACCUAUAACUUCAUUUCAUAACUACAUCAGAUAACCGUUUAUGUGCAACUAUAUUUUAUUCAAUUUCAAAAAUUAGCAUAUGCAAUGACAUGUUUUAUCGUAAAAAGUACAAGAAAUUUUCAACGUAUCACAAAUACAAAGUGUUAUACCACAUGUCAUUAUAUAAAGAGAAAUUUUUUAUAUUUUAAGUCUGUCUCCACUUAUAUAAUAUGUGUUGUACCAUCCGAAUUCCGGAUCAGUAAAAGAUCUCUCCAAAAAUACAUAUGCAUGUUUUAUUCAAAAGGUUAGGAAUGAUGCGUCAUCAUCCCUAACGCACUUUAUUAUAAGUAGUAUCAUCCAUUGAGGCAGAGAAGUUAAUUAGAUGCUGUCCUUAAUGGAUGCACUAUAGCCGUUGACAAUGUCAUACUGCCUGCCCCAGAGCAUAAUUCCUCCGUACUUGGGCGAUUUCUUAAUCGUUGGAAGAACUUGUGACUUGAGAGCGUCAGCAGGAAUAAAUCCGCCGCCCGGAGCGGCCUCAGGAGCUGCCGGUAUACCCAAGAACACCUGGGUGGCCGGAACCGAGGCCCAUUGGUUCCAACUGCUCAAAAGAGCGUCGGCAUUACCGUCUGCAUACUGGCAUGGGGGGUUGUUGUAGAACUGAACCCAAACGUAGUCAAAUAAACCGGUUUGGAUAGCGCCGUCUAGGUGAGCAUCCGGGAUCGGACAUUGUGGAGCUGCGGCUAAAUAGACCGUUUUUGCCUGUCCGUUGUGUCCGUUGAGUGACCUGGCGAGCUCAUCAUAGAACUGCGCACCACCCGCCUCAAUGUCGAAAUCAACGCCGUCCAAAACCGCGUCCCCAAGCGGGCGCGAAGCGGACUGACCACCUAAGAAGUUGUUCCAGAUGUAAUCAGCAACUUGCCUUGCAUCAUCAGCUGAAGUGAGAGAGUAACUUCCGGCGGCCCCUCCAAUCGAGAGGAGGACUUUUAUGUUUUUUGAUUGGCAGGUUCUGAUGUCGGCACUCAGCCCCGUGCAAGUACCACUAGAGGGGUCGCAGUGGCCGGCGAGGUUUAGGACAGGGGUUUGGUUGUUUCCGAAAGUAGUGAGGAAAGCUAUGUUAACAAACUGGUAGUUGCCUGAGUUGCAAGCAUCUGCUAGGGUUCCUUCAUUGCCGUUUUGGCCCCAAUACGUCGCGAUUCCGGCGGCUUGGGAGGACUUGCAUGAAGAAAUGAGGAUCAAGAGGGACAGCGUUAGGGCUAGGGUUUGUGUUUUGGAUGCCAUUUUUGUAUGUUUUUUUGGGUUGUUGUUCAAAGUGCUUGGGAGUGGACUUGUACUUAUAGGUGCAGGGGACUUAUCCGUUAAGGUUUAGGGGAAGAAAAGUAUGACAGACGUGUUCUGCGGGUUAGAAAUGGGUGCCAGUCUUCAGCUUGGAACCUCGUCAAUCAAGUUAGCUAGGGCCUGUUUAGUCCAAGAAGUUUCACAUAAAACGCCGAUUAAGUUAGGUCGGGUUGGAAAUGCUUUCUUCAAAAACUACUUACACACGUAAGCGCUUCUUAUAUUUUUCAUAAGAAUGCAAGUGCUUUUGAAAAAAAACACUUGAGCUGUUUCGUGUGUUUUUUUCAGAAAAUACUUUAAAUGUUUUUUCAAACUAAAAAUCCAUUAAAGCUCCUUUACUUGUUUAAGGGCACUUCCAAAAUCAUAUUUAAAGAAAAAUUACUUCUAGAGAGAAUUAUAACAUGCUAAUUGAGAGAUCCCGAAACUAGAAACUAGAUAGUUAUAAUGAAGCGUGACCUUAACUGCUUAAUUAAGUGAAAAAAGCCAUCAAAUUUGACAAAAAGUCUGAUGAAAGGUCAUAGCUGUAUCAUCUGUAGAUGAGAUAAUCAUGAAACAAUGUGGGGAAUCAACACAUCCUUAUCAUCGUCAAAAAAAAAAAUUCACUGUGCUGGAAGCACGUUCAAUUGAACGUUUUGGAAGUUUGUGGAUAGAAACCAAAUGGAAUAUGCUUGUAACCAAAAUUGCUGGCUGCUAUAUACAUCUUGGAUUUUAGCUGAGGUGGCCAUUGGCCAAGGACUUUGGUCUAAUCACGAUGCUUUAAUUUCGCAAUCCAAAAAAAAAAUUCAGAUAAAAUUUAGAACACGUUUUGGGAGUGCUUUCAAAUUACUGAAAGCGAUUUUAGAAAGAAAAAAAAUGUUUAUAUAACUAAUCUUUAAUAAAAAUGCAAGUUAAUCCUCCAAAAGUACUGAAACUAGUGCUUCUUUGAUAAAACACUUCAAGUGCUUUUGGAGCUCAAAAAUAUUAUCUCAAGUGGUUUCAGUCAUUUAAAAACACUUUCUAAACGAGUUAAUGACUCGUGUAUGGGGCAACAUUUAGCAAGUAACGGCUCUCAUGAAUUGGAUUGUGGUGAUGUGAAAAUGGGUUUGGGUAAGUUUAGUUUAGACCAGUCAGCAGUGUUUAAAAUAUCCACGACAUUAUCGAUAUUUUCGUUGAAAUAUCCUUAAAAUUAAGGGUCCAUAAGCAAAAGAAGGAUGAAAUGCAAACUUCACCCUAUAUCGGCAAGAUACAAGAAAACAAUGAAUAUAGACAAUAUGUAACAACUCGUCCCAAGAUUUACUGUAUAUAAAUGGUAUUUUUGUAUUUUCAUCAAGUUUGGGAAUUUAUCUUCCUUUUAAAAUUUGUUUUUGGUCUUAAAUGGUGAUCCAAGGGGACCCACUCCCCUGAUUUUGUCCCCGAGCCCUCUUCUCUCUUUCUUCCUCUCCUCUUCCCUUUCCCCUUUCCCGUAUACUUCUAUUCCUCUCUUCUCUAUGAUCACACUCACACCCAGCUGCACUCCCUGCUCGAGGAAGACGCAAUCACCAUCUAAACCACGUCCCUUUCCUCUUCCUCUUGCCUCUGUGCAACUCGGCGAAACCAAGAAAAUAACCUCCGGCAAGUCCGACGGCUUUCGAAGCCAUUUCCUGCCAAACCACGGCGCGUUGGCCGGCGUGCAAGGUAUCAAUCUCUUCGUCCCGUCAAGUACUAUAACUUUUCUUUUUGUUUCACUCAAUUUAAUUGAGUAUUGAAGAAGUUAUACUCAUUUGAAUCUUACCCAGUUUCCGGCGACCUCCGAGGCUUUCGAGGAAAUUUCAGGCCAAACCAUGGCGAGUCAGACGUGAGGUAUCAUUCUCUUCGUCUCUUCCAGGACUACAACUUUCGUUUUUGUCUCGCUUGAUUUCGUUGAGUAGUGACAAAGUUAUGGCUGUUUAAAGUGGGGUGGUUUUCCGGCCGAAUUUCCGGCCUUCUUCUUCCUUGGCAACAGGCCACCCGGCCUUUCCCUCUCCCUCGGACCUUAGGCCCGUGUUGUCUUAAGCCCAAAACCCUAGCCUUUAGUUUUAAGUUUUAUUAUUUGGUUUUAAAACCCUAAAAAGGGCCUUGGGCCGGUGGUUUUUAAAAAGGGCUUAAAGCCCUGUUUUUCUUUAUUUAUUUUUAUUAAGGCCUUAAGGCCUUGUGAUUUUGUGCCCGUGGGUGUGUGUGUUAGGUGUGUAUGUGUUUAUGCAUGCACAUGCAUGCCGUGUGUGUGUGUGUAUUUGUAGUAUGUGUGUGUUUGGGCUAAAGCCCAAACCCCAAUUCUCACCCUAAAACCAUUUUAACCCAAAAUCCUAGGUUCCUAAAAUCCUUUAAAACCCUAAACCCAUCCAAUCCCAAAUCCCCUAUUUUAUUUAAACCUAAACCCUAAUCCGGAUUUCAAGCCUAAAACCCAUUUGACCGUUGACCCCCGGUCAACGUUGAUUUUAGGGUUGACUUUUCGGGUUUUCGUCCGGGACCCUUCUUAGGGUAAUUCGACGUUCUAAAUCCGUUUCCAAUGUCCAUUUUCCCAAAUUCAAUUGUUAUUAUAUAGUUUUAUUUAUUGGACUCUUUAUGUGCUUAGGGGCAAUUAUUGUGACGUUUCCAUCUUCGCUAGUGGCACAGCUUUUGGCAACUAAGUAUUGUGAGUGGACCCCUUCUAGAAUUACAUGAUUUGAUAAUUUAAUUGCAUAAAUGAUUAGCAUGCCUACGAAUUUAUGAUUUGAUUUAUGUGAAGCCUGAUGAUUUAAUAUAUUGAUUAUCGUCUCGGGUUUUGGUGAGGAAUUAUUUGUUAGCCUAUAUUGAGCUAUAUUUUAAUAUAUCGUAUUUUCUAUUAAAACCAUGAACUGGUAGACUAUCUGAUAGAUGACGAUAGGAUGCUAGAACAUGUUUUUGAACCCCUCUUUAUAGUGUAGACGAUGAUCGGUAACCUAUGCUAUGAAGUGGUUUUUUUUAGAGAGACGUAACUAUUUGUGCGUACCUAGUAGACACUAUGCCGCCUGGGGCAAGGAACUGGUGUUGGCAUUUAGGCCGGGAGAAAUAAUCCCUAGCGAAAGGCUGAGGGACACGGAGACAGGCAGUGGGCCAAGAGGGAGUUAUCUCUGGCUACGGGCACAGAGACUGAGGUGCAAGCAUUGGGCCGGGAGUUAUAUUUAUUCAGUGAUCUUUCUAGCAGCACACUGCGUUUACGAGACGAUUUAUGAUGCGUUUACUGUUUUGAUUUCCGCGAUGUUUUUCCGCGUUAUGGCGUUUGAGAUAUUUUUGGCAUACUAGGAUUUUUAUUAAAUCCAUCACUUAUUAUGCUAGUAGUUUUCAUUUAUAUAAACUUUGGGGGUUAGUAUGUUGAUAAUUGUUUUAUUAUUAUUGUAUAUAUAAACUUGGUCCACUCACCUUUGUUUUGCGCCCCCAUUCAGGACUUAGAAUCAAGGCACCUAAUCCCGGCGUGAAGACACUUUCGCAGCAGCAUCUUCGGAUCCUCUCGAUGUAGGACUCACUCCUUUACUCAUUAAAUUUUAUCUUAAUUCUUUUUAGUGAUUAGAUUUAGUUGUAUGCUCUGAGCACGUUCCUAAAACUUUUAACUCUUAGUUUUUAAAUUCAUAACACUUACUUAUUUCUUAUUCUUAGCUUUUGUAUCAAUUAAUGGCUUUCGUCACCCUCGGGUGUCGGCCAGCAUGUGUCUUCCUGGUAUUCGGGGAAUAUCAGGGUCGGGGCGUGUCACAAUAUUUACGGAUUAAUUACAAAAUUUUGCUAAUACCUAUUGCAGAUUUCGAACUGUAGAAUUUUUUUUAUAAAUUUUUUCUUUAAUUUCAACUAAAUCUGAAUGAGUACUUACCCCAUUGUAAAUUUCCAUCGAAGACUUUCCAACUAUAUCGAUAUUUUAAACACUGGUUUAGACCAACAUGUUUAAUAUCCAGUGCAUGCAAAUAGAAUGUCAAAUCUUUUUGAAAAACUUCAGUAUGACUGCCACUUAAGGGCAACUAGCAUAUUAAAGAGACCAAUGCAAAGUUGGAUGAGACUAAAAUACAUAAAGUCUCAUGUUUUGGUGAGAUGUGGUUUACAAAUGAUAUAGCAUGUGCCCUACGAAAAACGAGAUCGGAUUACCUAAUUGAAGUUUCUCUAGCAUGAAAAAUUCAAGAGGGAUGUGACGGUUCCGGAAAGUAAAAAAUCACACAUUUUUAUUAAUAAUUUUUUUGUUCGAAUUCGGAAAUGUAUAGAACUGAACAAAUGGAAUAGUGGCUCAGUGAUACCAACAAUUUCAUGUUGCAAAUUACAAAAAAAAAAAAAAAAAAAAAAAAAAAAGGAAAUGUUUUACACAAAAUUAAUGACAAUUAGAGUUAAACAACAGAAACUUGCACUUUAAAUGGUUUUUUUCUGCUGCUUUUGGUAUGUAUAUGCUUUUUCCGCACCGCUGGCUACUGUAUUCUCGGUAAUUUUCAUCGUCAUCCCAGCUGCGUUGCGAGCAUGAACGUUUGAUUCCUGUCAUUGGGGUUUCACAUACUCUGUCAUCACAUGAACCUCCAUGAUCCUUCCUUUUAAACAGCUUUCGAAGUGGAUUUGACUUUGGUUUCAAUGGUUUCAGCUGUUUUGGGGCCCAAAUUCUCUGCAGAUCGGGCAUCCAUCUUGUGGAGUAAGCGAACCUCCGAGCCCUCUCUCUCCUCUCUUGAACUUCAAGUAACUUGCGAGCAUGGUCGUCCUUUUGUUUGAUCUCUUCAGCGCUCGGUCUUCCAAUAUCAGUUUUCAGCGGACGAAGAGACUCACCUACUGCUGGUAAUGAAUCCCAGAUUCUAUAACUUCCAUCCACUUCGACACUCUUCGGUUUUUCUUUACAGGAUCGAUUGCUAUCCUAACUGUUGAGUAAACUAUUAGGGAGUUCUUCCUCAUCAGCAAACAGCAACAAAUCCAUUUUCUUAUAGAUUUUGCGAACCACAUCUUCAAGUGUCUCACAGUACCUGAAAAAUUCCAAAUUCAAAGAUUAAUCUAUCUGCUUAAGUUAAUUUUCCAUCUCAAACAAAAAUUGAUUGCCCGCACAUGUACUUCCGGAAAACUAAUUCCAGGAACGGAUUAUUUAAGCAACAUCGUUUCUUCAAGGAUCAUACUGUAGACAUACACUAUUGGCACAUUGCAAAAGUUGUAUAAACAUAUUCCACACUCGUUCAGAAAAACAUGGGUACGAUGUGCGCAUAACUGGCCUAUAUCCUGUCAAUCUACACUGAUAAGGAAAGACACUUUAACUCAUCUAAGAUUAUAAAGACAACCACUUUCCUUAUUUAGCAUUGUUGCAAAGGUAAGUAGGACAUGAUUUGUUAGAUAGGUAGUAAUAUCCCACAUGAAAGUGGAACACAGUGGCACCGGAAAUGUGUAUUUGUUGAGACAUGAACGAUAGACUGAAUGCAGCGUGUGCUAUAUAGCCUUUCAGCGAAAGCCAUAAUGCCUCAGUAAAACAUCCAUUAUAUAAAGUAAAGAAUAAUUUCAAGGGUAGGGGUUUUCAACUGUGGUACAGAUUUAUUACCUGCUUUUUAUGAUCUUUUCAACAUAAUCAUACACUCCAGUCACCAAAGAAGCCCUCCAGAUGACAUCGAAUUUUCUCCAAAAAGGAGCAAAUCUGUUUUACAGACUUCUGUUUUGUAGAUUCAGCAAUACGUGCACCAACCUCUGAUUGUAGUAUCUCCAUCCGGAAAAAUAUCUGCAAUUCAUAUCGUGCACGAGCUGGCGCAAGGAGGCGGCGAAGCACGAAGCCCGGGGCGGCGAUGCCGGGUCGAGGCGAAAUGCGGGGAGGGAAUUGAGGGUUUGGGAGAGGGAAUUGAAAGUGGGGCCGGGGAGGUGGAAAGAGAGGGAGAGAGAAGUGGGGAGCUUGGAGGAGGAGAGCAGCGGAGAGAGGGAGGAGAAGAAGGGUCUGAAGGCGAAGAGAGAGGCGGAGAGAGGAGGGAAAGAGAGGAUGGUUUUGACGGCGGCGAGGAAGGCUGUGAGAAAUGGAGCUGGGUUUUGGAGGUGGAGGAGUGGGUUGAGGCCUAGGAGGAGGACGAUGCGCUGCGUUUUGCCGUAGUCGGCGAUUGGGUCGCCGGAGCUCCGUUCAGAUGCCAUCGCAUUUGCAGGAGGAGAAAGAGACGGACUUGGGUUGCAGAGAAGGGAGAUGCAAAUGUGGAAUUAAGGAACAGUAAACCGAAUACGCAGUCGUUUUAGUAGAAAAACGACGAUACGGUAGAUGCUUGAGCGGGAAACCAAAUUUUGGCUGUAAAGGAAAUGUUUUAGGCCCCGUUUGGGAUUGAGGUGAUUUUAAAAAAAGCCACUGUGAAAAAAAGCUGAGGGUCAUUUUUGUGUUUGGUAAACUGAAAAAAGGGCUUAUUUUGGAAGCUGCUGUGAAAAUAAGCUGAAAAUCAAAGGAAAAGCUGAAGCUGCUAUUUGCUGCUUUGAAAAAAAGCCAGUUUUUUCAAAGCACACAGAGCUACAAUGCUCCUUUAAUGAAAAGACACACUAUCAUCCUGAUUUUUUUUCCAAAAGCACUUUCACAAAAAAGUUUACCAAACACUCUACUGCUUUAUUUCACAGCCGCUUAUUCUCACAGCACAGCCGCUUAUUCUCACAGCAGCUUUUUUUCAAAGCACAGCAAUACCAAACCAGCCCUUAAUCUCAUGAAGGACCUGUUUGGACUGCAUCUAAAUUUGUUAAAAGCGCUUUUAGAGAACAAAAGAGCUUUUGACAUCAGUUGAAAAAAAAAAAAUAUUUAAAGUACUUCUUCACGUGAAAAAAACACAUGGUUUUUAAUGAAAAUUCCAACAUGAUUUGAAUGAAAGUGCUUUCAAAAAGUAUUAUGAAUAGAUAUGCUUUUUUAUAUGCUUCUAUGAAAAGUGCUUUUUGCAAACAAUGUCGGGCUCGUUUGUAAUUACUUUUAAAAUGGUUGAAAGUGUAUUUCGUAAAAAUAUUUUUAGAAACAAUAUUUAGUAAAAUGCAAGUGAAUCCUAAAAAAAACACUUCAAGAAUAGAACAACCAAAGGGGCGAAAACUGUAAACCUCAUAGCAACCGAAUUACAAUUCGAGAACAUACCCGUUACUGAAUCCCAAAUCGCUGGUUCCCAAGUGUAGUCAUGCACAAGCUCGUUUAGAACCAAUAUUUUCUCUAAGAACGAUUUCAAUCAUUUGAAAAACAUUUUUAAACGAACUGAUGUUUUUAGGAGAAACACAAUGAGGAGCAAAUGAUUCCUAGGCGAGAAGAAAAACUAGACAGAAUGUUAAAUAGCACAUUAUGUACCAAUUUUUCUUCAACAAAUUGGAACUACUGAGAAGUUUGGAAACUAAAAAGUAAAGAUUGAUUCUAAGGAUUCUAACCCUGAUGAUUGCUUAUACAGUCGAACUACUUGAAUAGACUGGACUACCGAAGAUAAACUCAUACAUAUACGAAUUAUUAAAAAGUGAAAGAGGCUCAUCUCAGUUUUUUUUUUUUUUUUUAGUUGAAAGAAAAAAAAGGUAAAACAUGGAGAAGAUCAUGAACAGUAAUGGGUUUUAGUAUAUAUAAAUAUAAUUUGUAACUGUAUCUGUCCAAAUAUGCCGUGCAAGUUCUAUUCAUUAGCAGGUACUUUGAUUGCCAUGCAGUAAGAGCAUACAACGGAGAUUGGCUUUGUAUCAAGGCGUACGUCCCAUACACCUCUUUUAUGGGUGAUGCUGUCCACACACUUCUUUUAAUUACCAGUCGUCAUAUAGAAUGAAUUCAAGAGGAUCAAAUGACUAAAAUUAACAGAGAAUAUGUAAAAGAUAAACCAGAGUGUAUGGAUAACACCACCCUAUCUUAUUAGGAUAAUAACAUCCGAUGUGUUUGAUAUAAUCUUUUAGGGACUAACCAAAACAUUGAGUUACAAAAGUCAAACACUUCCGAUGAUGGAAGAACUAUAUCCACUUCUAUCGUCACAAAACUUGGACAAUAACAUCACACCACCAUACUUUGACGACUUCUUUAUCACCGGCAGAAUUUCCGAAUUCAACAAAGCAGCCGGAACAUACCCACUCUUGGCCGCCUUAGGAGCCGCCAGCAACCCCAAAAACAUCUUCCCUGUCUAAUACAAUGAUGUCACUUGGCGUCUUAACAAGAUGGGAGACUUUGGAGGGACUUUAUUGAGUACUCCAGAGUACUCAGUACUCUCAUUUGUUUAAAAAUAUAAAAAUCAAAAUCUAACGAUUAAAACAUCUAGAGUAUCCAUAUAUAGUACUGCUCAAAACUUUUUGAGACAUUGGACGUGAUCCCUCCUAGAAAUUAUUAAGUUAUACAGUAGUACACUUCAGCCGUGAUACUUUCAUUCAAAGGCUAGCUUUAUACUAAUAUGUGAUACUUUCAUUCCAUAUUUGAGAGCCAUUGGAUAAGUAUAAAGCUAACCUUUACAAUAUGAGCUAGUUAGUUAGCCUUCACACACACAGUGCCUGCCUAUCAUGUAACCAUUGACAAUGAUACCCGACAAUUUAUUUGGAGAGAGGGUCCUCACUCAUUUAUUUGGACCUAUAACUUCAUUUCAUAAUAACUCCAUCACAUCAUUUUAUGUACCAUAGUUUAUUCAAUUUCAAAAAUUAGUACACGCAAUAACAUGUUUUAUCGUAAAAUAUACGAGGUUUUUUAGUAUAUUAGAAAUACGAGAUGAUGCACCACAUGUCAUUAUAUAAAUGAAGAGAAAUUUUUUUUUUUUUUAAAUGUGCCUCCACUUAUAUAAUGUAUUGUACCACCCAAAUUCUGAAUAAGUGAAAGAUCUCUCCAAAAAAUACAUAUGCAUGUUUUAUUCAAAAGGUAAGGAAUGAUGCGUCAUCAUCCCUAACACACUUUAUUAUAGUAGUAGCAUCAAUUGAGGCAGAGAAGUUAAUUAGAUGCUGUCCUUAAUGGAUGCACUAUAACCGUUGUCAUAGAACCUGCUCCAAAGCAUAACUCCUCCGUACUUGGGCGAAUUCUUAAUCGUUGGAAGAACUUGUGACUUGAGAGCGUCAGCAGGAAUAAAUCCGCCGCUUGGAGCGGCCUCAGGAGCUGCCGGUAACCCCAUGAACACCUGGGUGGCCGGAACCGAGGCCCAUUGGUUCCAACUGCUUAAAAGAGCGUCGGCAUUACCGUCUGCAUACUGGCAUGGGGGGUUGUUGUAGAACUGAACCCAAACGUAGUCAAAUAAACCGGUUUGGAUAGCGGCGUCCAGGUGAGCAUCCGGGAUCGGACAUUGUGGAGCUGCGGCUAAAUAGACCGUUUUUGCCUGUGCGUUGUGUCCGUUGAGUGACCUGGCGAGCUCAUCAUAGAACUGCGCACCACCCGCCUCAAUGUCGAAAUCAACGCCGUCCAAAACCGCGUCCCCAAGCGGGCGCGAAGCGGACUGACCACCUAAGAAGUUGUUCCAGAUGUAAUCAGCAACUUGCCUUGCAUCAUCAGCUGAAGUGAGAGAGUAACUUCCGGCGCCCCCUCCAAUCGAGAGGAGGACUUUUAUGUUUUUUGAUUGGCAGGUUCUGAUGUCAGCACUCAGCCCCGUGCAAGUACCACUAGGGGGGUCGCAGUGGCCGGCGAGGUUUAGGACAGGGGUUUGGUUGUUUCCGAAAGUAGUGAGGAAAGCUAUGUUAACAAACUGGUAGUUGCCUGAGUUGCAAGCAUCUGCUAGGGUUCCUUCGUUGCCGUUUUGGCCCCAAUAGAUCGCAAUUCCGGCGGCUUGGGAGGACUUGCAUGAAGAAAUGAGGAUCAAGAGGGACAGAGUUAGGGUUAGGGUUUGUGUUUUGGAUGCCAUUUUUGUAUGUGUUUUUUUGGGUUGUUGCUCAAAGUGCUUGGGAGGGGACAUGUACUUAUAGGUGGAGACUUACUGGUUAAGGUUUAGGGGAAGAAAAAUAUGACACACGAGUUCUGCUUGUAAGAAAUGGAUGCCAGUCUUCUGCUUGUCAAUCAAGUUAGCUAGGGCCUGUUUGGUCGAAGUUUCACAUGAAACGUCGAUUAAGUUAGGUCGGGUUGGAAAUGCUUUCUUCAAAAACCACUUACACACGUAAGCUCUUCUUAUAUUUUUCAUAAUAAUGCAAGUGCUUUUGGAAAAAACACGAGAGGUGUUUCGCAUGUGUUUUUUUCAAAAAGCACUUCAAAUAUUUUUUCUACCUAAAAAUCCAUUAAAGCUCCUUUACUUGUUUUAAAGAAACUUCCAAAAUAAUAUUUAAAGAAAAAUUACUUCUAGAGAGAAUUAUAACAUGCUAAUUGAGAGAUCCCGAAACUAGAAACUAGAUGGUUAUAGUGAAGCGUGACCUUAACUGCUUAAUUAGGUGAAAAAAGCCAUCAAAUUUGACAAAAAGUCUGAUGAAAGGUCAUAGCUGUAUGCAUAAUCCGUAGAUGAGAUAAUCAUGAAACAAUACGUGGGGAAUCAACACAGCCUUAUCAUCGUCAAAAAAUUUUAGUGUUCUAGAAACACGAUCUGAUAUACAAAAUGUUUUAACAUCAAUUGAACGUUUUGGAAAUUUGUGGAUAGAAACCAAAUGGAAUAUGCUUGCUAGCUGCUAUAUACAUCUUGGAUUUUAGCUGAGGUGGCCAUUGGCCAAGGACUGCGAUCUAAUCACGAUGCUUUAAUUUCGCAGUACGAAAAAAAUUUCAGAUAAAAUUUAGAACAUGUUUAGGGAGUGCUUUCAAAUCACUGAAAGCGAUUUUAGAAAGAAAAAAAAUGUUUAUACAACUAAUUUUUAAUAAAAAUGCAAGUUAAUUCUCUAAAAGUAUUGAAAUUAGUGCUUCUUUGAUGAAUUACUUUAAGUGCUUUUGGAGCUCAAAAAUAUUUUCUCAAGUGGUUUCAGUUAUUUAAAAACACUUUCUAAACGAGUUAAUGACUCGUGUAUGGCAACAUUUAGCAAGUAAUAGCUCUCAUGAAUUGGAUUGUGGUGAUGUGAAAAUGGGUUUGGGUAAGUUUAGUUUAGAUCAGUCACCAGUGUAUAAAAUAUCCAUGAAAUUGUCGAUAUUUUCAUCAAAAUAUCCUUAAAAUUUAGGGUCCAUAAGGAAAAGAAGGGUAAAAUAUAAAUUUCAACCUAUAUUGGCGAGAUAUAAGAAAACAAUGAAUAUCGACAAUAUUUACCAAUUAACUACAAAAUGUUGCUAAAACCUAUUGCAGAUUUUGAACUUUAGAAUUUUUUUUUUAUAAAUUUUUUCUUUAAUUUCGACUAAAUCUGAAUGAGUUGAUACUUGAUAUGCUUAUCCCAUUGUAAAUUUCCAUCAAAGACUUUCCAACUAAAUCGAUAUUUUAAACAUUGGUUUAGACCCACAUGUUUAAUAUCCAGUGCAUGCAAAUAGAAUGUCAAAUCUUUCAGAAAAACUUCAGUAGGACUGCCACUUAAGGGCAACUAGCAUAUUAAAGAGACCAAUGCAAGGUUGGAUGAGACUAAAAUACAUAAGAGCAAUUCCACCGGGGACCAAAUGUCCCAGCCUCCAGUCCAAAAACCAAGCCAGGCCUCUGUCAAUCAAGUCCACCCCAACAAACUGACUGGUACCCAGCCCGAGUUGGGCAAGAGCCCAGCCCAAAAGAGACUGAGACAGAAGCCGGGGAAGAAGCCUGGCGCGUGCACUUCACGUAGCCGUUUGGCGAGUGCCCGACAAGCUUUCAGACGCCGGGGCCCGCGUGCAGGCGCUGUCAGUCCCCCCCCCGAGUUGCGACGUGGCUACCUCUCUGCCGUUGGAUUUCCAACGGCUAGUUUUCUAGACCGUUGGAUUUCCAACGGUAAAAAAAUUUUAAAUUUUACUUUUAAACUAGACCGUCGGAUCAAAGAUCAACGGUCCACGUUUUUUUCACAAAAAGUAAAUUAAAAAAAAAAAAAAAGGGCCCAACGGUCAGAAAUAUGACCGUUGGCCACGUGGCAACUCCCUAGCUCUUGGAUUUGAAUAUUUUUCAAAUCCAACGGUCCAGAUUAAUUAACUAUAUUAAAAUUCAUUAAAAAUUAUUAAAAAAUACAGAAAAAUUAUUAAAAAAUACAGAAAAUUUUAAAAAAAUUACAGAAAAUUUUGAAAAAUGUUAAUUUUUUUUCCUAUAAAUACCUAACCCUCAUCUUCUACCUUUACACCACAUUCCAAUAUUUUCUACACUUUCUAUACUAUCUACAUUUCAAAAUAUUUUCUACACUUUAAGAGAAAAAAAAUGUCUUCGUGGAAGCUCAUUGAAGAUGUUACGUUGUGUGAAUGUUGGGUUCACACUACUCAUGAUCCGAUUACGGGUAAUGAGAUGGAUAAGCGAGAGAUGUGGAGUAAAAUUACGAAAGCGUUUUGUGAUGUACAUGGAGAAAACGCCAGAACUAGUCAAGGUCUUCAAGGUCGUUGGAAAAAACUCAAUGCAUCAUUUACUUGUUGGAAAAACGCCAUCUCUCAUGCUUCCGGUAACCUCCGUAGUGGGACAAGUUUAGCGGAUCAGGUGACAAUAUUUUUUAUUUAUUUAUAUGCAUUCCACUCACAUUAAUAUUUUGAUUUAUUUAAUUUCGUAUGUAAUUUUUAUCUUAUUUCUUAUGUAAUUUUUAUUUAAUUUCUUAUGUAAUUUUUAUUUAAUUUCUUAUGUCAUUUUUAUGUAAUUUAUAUGCAUUCCACCCGUAUUAAUAUUUUGAAUUUAUUUAUUUGUGUUACACCCGCAUUUUUUAACACUAUGUUAUCCCACUUUUUUAUAGACACUACAAGCUCAAGCAUUCUACAAUUCAAAGAACGGGAACAAAUCAUUCAAUAGAUUGGAAUGUUGGCAAAUUGUCAAAGAUUGCCCUAAAUACAAAAUUGUGGCAACUGGUCCAGAAGUUGUCAUGCACGGUAUGGGUCUACAUAGUUCUCCAGAACCAGACAUGGCCGAACAAGAAGCCGACACAUUUCAAGACACGGAAGGGACGGCUGAACAAGUGCCCGAGACCCAACCGACUCGUCAGUCCCUAAGGCCUCUAGGUAAAAAGGCGUCAAAGAAAAAAGGUAGUUCUUCCAAAAAAUGACUACACUAAAUAUAUGGAGGAACUUGCUCGCCAAGGUGAACUAAACUUGGCACGAGAAAAGGCUAGAGAUGAGGAAAAAGUUGCUGCUAUGGCAGCAAUAUUAGCAGCUACUGAGGCCCGUGAUGCGGCGGCUGAAAGACAAAGAGAAGUAGUUAAUCGAGAGAACGAGCUGGUUAGAGAAGCACUUCAUCGAGAAAAUGAAUUGCUUCGAGAAGAAAGGAUGGCUCAAGCAUCGUGAUCGUGACACUAUGAGCAAGUCUCUAGUAGGACUGUCUCCGAAUUCUAAAUAUUUUUUAGACAUCGGAAAAAGAGAUGCCAUGCGUAGGAGGCGUGCAAGAGAUGCGGAAACAAGUCAAGGGGGUUCUAGCUACACAAAUCAUGGCAACCAAGAUCCUAGCACCACAUAUCCUAACUCGAGAGACUUUAUUUAAUUUCUUAUGUAUUUUUAUGUAUUUUCUUUCUUUUUUCUAGUAGAACUUUAUUUAAUUUCUUAUGUUUUUUCUUUUUUUUAGGUUUGAACUUUAUUUAUUUUCUUAUGCAAUUUUAAUGUAAUUAUUUAUUUAAUUUCUUUUGUACUUUAUUUAAAACACAUGAAAUAAGAUUACACAUAAACUCACCAAAUAAAUUUAAAAACAAAACACAUUACAUAGAAUUACAUAAACUCACCAAAUAAACUUAAAAACAAAACACACUACAUAGAAUUACAUAAACUCACCAAAUAAACUUAAAAACAAAACACACUACAUAGAAUUACUUAAACUUAAAAAAAAAUACAAUUUAUUCUUCAACCACAAGCCUCAUUCUAAUUAUCUUCGCCUCCAUGCAAUCCCCACUGGUGCUCAAUCAAGUCAUUCUGGCGGGUUACGUGCCAGUAUGGCUCUUGCACAUUAGUGUACCGCUGAACGAUCAAUUCAUUGUAACGUCCAUCACGUUCCAACGGCUCGUGUUGCACUGGAUCUUCGGUCCCAUCAUGAGCACAAUAAAUACGUGUUCUUGAGUUGUUCAUCGGAUCUGGCUCAUAUUCAUCGACGGCAUCAUAAUCAUACUCAUCUUCAACAAUCAUGUUAUGGAGAAUAAUACACGUCAUCAUGAUGGAUCGAAGAGCCUCGACAUCAAACAUUCUAGCUGCAGCCCUGACAAUCGCCCAACGAGCUUGCAGGAUACCAAAACAACGCUCGACAUCCUUCCUACACCCUUCUUGACAUUUUGCAAAGUGUUUUUCCUUUUCAGUCUGUGGAUGUGGCACUGUUUUGACAAAUGUUGACCACCUUGGGUAAAUGCCAUCUGCAAGGUAGUAUGAUCCCUCGUAUUGGGUACCAUUAACCCAAUAUGUGCAUCUCGGCGAGUUUCCUUGCAGCAGUUCGUCGAACACUGGGGAUUGGGCAAGGACAUUUAGGUCAUUUUGAGCUCCUGGAACACCAAAAAAAGCAUGCCAAAUCCAUGUAUCAAAUGAAGCCACCGCUUCCAAAAUGAUGCUUUUGGCUCCUUUUCUGUCGCCAUAUGCUCCUUGCCACGCACUUGGACAGUUUUUUCCAAGUCCAGUGCAUGCAGUCGAUGCUUCCAAUCAUGCCAGGGAAGCCUCGCAUCUCACCCUUCCUCAGAAGCCUUCGCAUGUCCCUUGACGUGGGUGUCCGGAGGUACUCUUUGGUGUAGAGGGCUUCAAUUGCAGAGCAAAACCGCAUCAGGGACUCCAGAACAGUUGUUUUUCCCAUCCUCGCGAUCUCAUCCACUUGAUCUGCAGAUGCUCCAUAUGCAAGCAUUCGCAAGGAUGCCGUAAUUUUUUGCUCGGGAAUAAGACCUAGAACAUGAAAAGCAUCCUCUUUUUGCACAAAGUAUGAAUCAUUGUUGCAAAUAUCACUCAUGAUUUUGUUGAACAAAUGUCGUUGCAUUCUAAAACGCCGUCUAAACAUGAUCAGGGAAUAUGCUAUUGGGAAUAAAAUAGUCUUCCAAUAGAUUUUUACCUCGUUUUUCCCUUUUUCUAUCGAGGUUUGCAACACGUCUUGGUUUGGCUAUCUGACCCACGGCUUCCAUGACACGGCGGGAAUGUGAGGCCUUCUGCCUUCUAUGGUGAUCAUCCUCAUCCUCCUCCAUGAAGAAAGCCUCAUCUCCACCUCCACCUUCCUCGAGAUUGGCCAAUUCUGCCUGUUGUGCCAACAACCUUUGUUGUUGCUCUUGCAACUGCUUAUACACCCUUCUUGAAGAAGACAUUGUAAUAAGAACUCAAGAUUUGAAAAUGAUGAACAAGGAUUCUGAGCUAAAAAGAAGGAUUGAGCUUGGUGUGAGGAUGGAUGUAGGGAUGUAGGGUUUAUAUGGACAAAAAAAGAAAGGAUGAGGUUCUGGACAAUGCCACGUGGCACUACGUGAUUGGUUGAAAAUCUUAUCGAAAUCUUGGCUAAAUUAUUGUAAACCGGAAGUGACACGUGGCGUGUCAGGAUUGGUCGAGAAUAUUAUCGAAAAUCUAUCCACAAAAUAGUACGUUCGGAUAAUGACACGUGGCAUGACGUGAUUGGUUGAAAAUCUUAUCGAAAUCUUGGCUAAAUUAUUGUACCAUGGAAGUGACACGUGGCGUGUCGGGAUUGGUUGAAAAUAAUAUCGGAAAUCUAUUCACAAAAUAGUACGUUCAGAUAAUGACACGUGGCGUGACGAGAUUGGUUAAAAAUCCUAUCCGAAAUUAAAACUAUUUUAUUUUUUUAUUCUUUAUUUUAAAUGGGUUAAAAAUCUUAUCCGAAAUAAACUUAAAAAAAAAACACACCAAAUAAAUGCGCUGGGUGCUAGCGCAUUUUUUUAGGGGUGGAGAUGCCUUGGCCUAUUACUGUUCACUCCAGUCUAUUACUGUUCAUUUGAGUGGAUAAAUGCGCUGGGUGCUGGCGCAAAGUCCACAGGGGUGGAAUUGCUCUAAAGUCUCGUGUUUUGAUGAGAUGUGGUCUACAAAUGAUAUAGCAUGUGCCCUACGAAAAAUGAGAUCGGAUUACCUAUUUGAAGCUUCUCUAGUAUGAAAAAUUCAAGAGGGAUGUGACGGGUCCGGAAAAUAAAAAAUCACACAUUUUUAUUAAUAAUUUUUUUGUUCGAAUUCGGAAAUGUAUAGAACUGAACAAAUGGAAUAGUAGCUCAGUGAUACCAACAAUUUCAUGUUGCAAAUCACAAAACAAAAAAAAAGGAACUGUUUUACACAAAAUUAAUGACAAUUAGAGUUGAACAACAGAAGCUUGCACUUUAAACGGUUUUUUUCUGCUGCUUUUGGUAUGUAUAUGCUUUUUCCAUGUCUCGAUGUAGUGCCAGUUCACAGGUCAUCAUCCUGGAACAAUGCUUUCGAAACAGAGCCGCACGGCUGGCUACUGUAUUCUCGGUAAUCUUCAUCGUCAUCCCAGCUGCGUUGCGAGCAUGAACGUUUGAUUCCUGUCAUUGGGGUUUCACAUACUCUGUCAUCACAUGAACCUCUAUGAUCCUUCCUUUUAAACAGCUUUCGAAGCGGAUUUAACUUUGGUUUCAAUGGUUUCAGCUGUUUUGGGGCCCAAACUCUCUGCAGAUCGGGCAUCCAUCUUGUGGAUGAAGCGAAUCUCCAAGCCCUCUCUCUCCUCUCUUGAGCUUCAAGUAACUUGCGAGCAUGGUCGUCGUUUUGUUUGAUCUCUUCAGCGCUCGGUCUUCCAAUAUCAGUUUUCAGCGGACGAAGAGACUCACCUUCUGCUGAUAAUGAGUCCCAGAUUCUAUAACUUUCAUCCACUUCGACACUCUUUGGUUUUUCUUUACAGGAUUGAUUGCUAUCCUCACUGUUGAGUAAACUAAUAGGGAGUUCUUCCUCAUCGGCAAACAGUAGCAAAUCCAUUUUUGUAUAGAUUUUGUGAACCACAUCUUCAAGUGUCUCACAGUACCUGAAAAUGUCCAAAUUCAAAGAUUAAUCUACCUGCUUAAUUCUCCAUCUCAAACAAAAAUUGAUCACCUGCAUUUGUACAUCAGGAAACUAAAUGCAGGAAUGAAUUAUUUAAGCUCCAUCAUUUCAAGGAUCAUACCGUAGGCUAAUAUGCUAUUGCAGAAGUUGUAUAAACAUAUUCCUCACUCGUUCAGAAAAACAUGCCUACGAUGUGCGGAUAACUGGCUUAUACCCUGUAAAUCUACACUAAUAAGGAAACACACUUAACUCAUCUAAGAUUAUAAAGAUAAUCACUUUCCUUUUUUAGCAUUAUUGCAAAGGUAAGUAGGAGAGCAUUGGAUGGGCAGUAAUAUCCCACAGGAAAGUGGAAACAGUGGCACCGGAAAUGUGUAUUUGAUGAGACAUGAACGGUAGACUGAAUGAGUGUCGAGAAAGCCAUAACGACUCGGUAAAACAUCCAUUAUAUAAAGUAAAGAAUAAUGCGAAAGGCAGGGGUUUUCAACUCUGGUACAGAUUUAUUACCUGCUUUUUAUGAUCCUUUCAACAUAAUCAUCUACACUCCAGUCACCAAAGAAGCCCUCCAGAUGACAUCGAAUUUUCUCCAAAAACGAGCAAAUCUGUUUUACAAACUUCUGUUUCAUAGAUUCUGCAAUACUUGCACCAACCUCUGAUUGUAGUAUCUCCAUACGGAAAAAUAUCUGCAAUUCAUAUCUAGUACUAGGUGAAGGAAAAGUGUAAAUGUAAUUGGAGACAAAUUUUCAUAUUGGUAGAGUUAUAACUGGAUUAAUGCAUAAUACAGAAGACAGUUCAGUUAUAAAUGAGAAAGGAUACUCUCGAACUAUUUUUCCAGAAGUCAGUCCUUCAGAUUCUGAAUCGGAUGCUUUAACAAACGGGCCGGAGCUUUUCUGCCUUGCAGUGAUAUCCUUGGGAUCUCUCAGUAGAAGUUUUAACACCUCAGCAGAAACCAAAUCAUCAGUAGCACCAGAUUUUACAAGGGAAGUUUGACUCUCUGAAAGGGCUUCUGUUUCCUGCUUUUUAUUUAACCAAUAUAUGGAUGAAUUCACAAGCCGAUAUGCCAAUGCCCCCAAGUCUACUGCUUCAUAUUCAAGCCCCUGUUGUAUCUUGUUGGAUAGACUACUGAAAAAAUCUUCCGACGUUUCUGAUCUAAAUUCCAAAGCAGCUUCAUCUUGUAUGCCAGAAGCCACAGUCAAAGAAUUUUCUCCAAUGGAAGGAGAUGAAGAAAUUGGCUGUUCACUUUCAUGGUGCAAGUUAUCCAACCUAUUGUCCAUCCCUUUUCUAUUGAGCUGGUCUGCCUGGGAUUCUUUCUCCACUAUUAGACCACGAUCGCUAGACUUCUUAAUUUGUUUCAUCCAGCAUUUCAGAAAUCGUAUCUUUUUUGAGUUAUAACAUUCCCUGGCAAAGUAAACCUCUUCCAAACCUAUCUCUGAGUGUUCAAAUGCUGCCUUGUAGAAGGCACUCCAUGUGAGAUCUUGUAGCAACUGUGAAUUUCUUUUGUUAUUUCUCUUCCUUCCCUCCUUGCCUGCAGAAUGCUUAUUGGAUGGCCCAGUUUGGUCCAAAUCAGCAUUCGGUUCGCAAAUCCCAUUCUUCAUAUUUCGACUUGAUUGGUCUGCUUUUGCUCCACCAAUAUCAUGCACUUUUGUCUGAGGGUGAAAUCCUUCAUCCACAAUAAACAGCCGAGCCGAAGAAACUGUGAAAGGUUUGAGAAUUCCGGUAGACGAUACACCACUGUCACUUGAAAGAGACACUAAUGCUCCAUGACCAUUCCUAUAUAAGAAACUCAAGAGAAUCUGCCAAAUGGGUGCUGACUUUCUCUUUGCAUUCUCACCCAAGUCCACUGCUACCACUUCUAGAACCUUAUCUGCAUAAUAAUUGCCAGAACUUUCUUUUCCAUCUUCACCAGGUUUUCCCAAAACAUCACAGACAAGGACUGGAUCAGAUAAGUGCCCCUUGAAUUUCAGAAACUCAUUGUACUUUUGCAAAGCCUUAACCUGGAACUUUGUCACGCCUUUGACAAAAUACCCCCAGAACAAUUCCUUCAGUUUACCACCCUUUGUUUGUGAAUUCAUGAUUUCUAGGGAAAAGAAAGCAUCAUCAGCUGCAUUUCUAGGCAACUUCUUCAAAUCAACCAAUUGAAGAUCACAAACCUUGCAUUCCAAAGGCUUCCCACUUACAUCUAAGAUCUCGAGACUCAACUGCGCAUUGACUUUCUUAUGACUAUCAUCACAACCGAAAAACUUGGAUGAAAUCCCUAUCUCGGGAUAAAUCAAACCAAAGGAAACAAGAGCAGAGCCAAGAAUAAUCCAACCAGUCGAGCAAAAUCCCCAUCCCAAACUCCUAACCCCACUCUCGAAAAACCCAAAUCUCGUCUUAUCCUCAUCGUUCCCAACCUUACCCUCACCACAUUCUAAUUCAUACCUGACAUCAACCCAGCUACACUGAAUAUCUCUACUCACAAAUGCUUCAUUCACAUUCUCAAAGAAACCCCUAAAUCUCUCGGAAAACGCUUUCACAUUUUCCAAAGACUCGUCACCCACACCCACUGUUAGGUCACAACUUCUAAAUUCCCUUUCUCGACCUGCUAGUAGCUGAUAGUAAUGGCGGUGAGUGAGUGGGAAGGAAGAUAGAGAGAGAUAGAAAGUUUCUUGUAAUAUUGUUUUUCUAAUUCAAUCCUGCAGAACAAUGCCACAAUUUGGUUCUUAUACAACCAUCCUUCUCACAAUGCCAGCUGGCUACUAACAAUAACGACAUGUAGCUAAAUAGUUUUCCACUAUUAUUCUAACCACUAUUAUAAUCAUAACACUACCCCUCCCUUACAAAAUAAACCUUGUCCUCAAGGUUAGAAUUAAAGACUGAAAUCAGGAAAUCUGGCAGCAAACUCGUCAUAAUCCUCCCAUGUAGUUUCGUCCUCUUUGUUGUUCUUCCACUGGAUUAACAACUGAACUCCAGCAGCUUGGCCCUUCUUGUAGACCCUCAUUUGUAGCACCUUGAGUGGUUCGAGUGGUAGCAACCCAUCAUCAGUGACAGUAGGCAAGAAUGGAGUUAUGUGACCUUGUCUCCCAAGUGCUUCUUCAAGCAACUAACAUGAAAGACUGGAUGAAUUUUUGAAUUCUCAGGCAGUUUCAAUCGGUAGGCAACCUUCCCAAUAUUUUCCAAAACCUCAUAAGGACCAUAGUACCGGGGAUGAAGCUUAUGGUAAGCAUGAGAUGACAAAGAUUGCAAUUGAUAGGGAAUUAAUUUCAAAUACACCAAAUCUCCUUCCUCGAAAACCCUCUCACUCCGAUGCUUAUCUGCUUGUGUUUUCAUCCGGUUCUGAGCUACUAGUAAAUUGGUCCUGAGCAUUGCUAAUAUUUUGUCCCUAGUUAGCAGCCCUUGCUCCACUAUAUCCAACUUAGCAGUGCCAAGCUCAUAAGACGCGAUGUGUGGUGGUGGAUAACCAUAGACCACUUCGAAGGGGGUGAACUUUGAGGAAGUGUGGUAGGAAGUGUUAUAGCUCCAUUCUGCCCAUGGAAGCCAGUGGAGCCACUUCUUAGGUUGACAGCUAGUGAAGCAUCGCAAGUAAGUUUCAAGGCACCGAUUCACCACCUCUGUCUGGCCAUCACUCUGUGGAUGGUAACCCGAGCUCAUACACAACUUGGAGCCUUGCAACUUAAAAAAAUUCUUUCCAAAAAACACUCAUGAAAAUGGUGUCCCUGUCACUCACAAUGGUAGAGGGCAUCCCAUGGAGUUUAAACACAUUAUCAACAUAUUCCUGAGCUACCAUGCUUGCCGUAUACGGAUGUGCUAAGGGGAUGAAAUGAGCAUACUUGGACAGCCUGUCUACGAUUACCAGGAUCACUGAUUUGCCUUUGCACAGAGGUAAACCAGUGAUGAAAUCCAUGCUUAUAUCCUUCCAUACAUGUGUAGGGAUCGGCAGAGGUUGAAGUAAUCCGGGAGGGGAAAUGGUUUCAUACUUAUUUUGCUGGCAUUCCCGACAUUCAGCCACCCAUGACCUGAGAUCUUUCUUCAUUCCUACCCAAUAGAAGCCCCUCUUCAAUAUCUGAUAAGUCUUUAGAACCCCUUUCAUGGCCUGCACUUGGAGAAGAGUGAUGUUCCUCAAAGACCUUCCUUUUCCAACUUGAAUCUGGGCUAAGCACGAUCCGUCCUUUGUAUUUGAGGAAACCGUUGUCUAAAUGGUACUUGGACAGAUUGGGGUCAAUUGCAGCAGCUUAAGAAUAUGCUAACACCUUCUGCACCUUGCUUUGAAUCCAACUAUCUUGUUCUAACCCUCUCCGAAGUUCAUCUAGCCACCCGAAGUAGGGGUAUGUGAUAGCUUUGCACUCCAAUAAGUCACUGAGAGGUUUCUCUUGUAAUUGAGACGAACCAACUACUCGAGAUAAGGCAUCAGCCAUUAUGUUGUCAUUGCCUUGCCUAUAUUGUAUCUCAUAAUCAAAUCCCAACAACUUGGCCACCCAUUUCUGUUGGAACGGGGUAGUAGUUCUUUGACUCAGAAAGUAUUUCAAGCUGCUAUGAUCUGUCUUUAUGAUGAAAUGGCGCCCUUGAAGGUAGUUUUGCCAUUUUUUGAUAGCACUAACAAUGGCAAUCAACUCUCUUUCGUAUGUAGACAAUGCUUAAUUCCGUGGUCCCAAUGCUUGACUUGUGAAAGCUAUAGGUCUGCCAUUCUGUUGCAACACAGCCCCUAUUCCAUUGCCAGAUGCAUCACAUUCCAAAGUGAAGGGAAUAGCAAAAUUGGGUAAGGCUAAUAGCUGCGGAGAAGUCAUUGUUCUUUUUAAUGCUUGGAAAGCUGCCGUGGCUUCAGGGGACCAAUUGAAACCAUCAUUUUUUGUUAGUUGAUACAAGGGUUGACACACCUUGCCAUAACCGGGGAUGAAUUUUCUAUAAUACCCUGAGAGCCCGAGAAAUCCCCUCAACUCUUUGACAUUUUUCGGUAUCGGCCAAUCUAUAAUUGCUUGAAUUUUAGUAGGAUCUGCAGCCACCCCAUCACGAGAGACGAUGUGCCCCAAGUAUUCCACCUGUGAUUGGCCAAAAGAGCAUUUCGAUUUCUUCACUGCUAAUUGGUGUUUCUGUAAUAACUCCAAAGUUUGGUGCAAGUGUGAAAGAUGGUCCUCCCAGGUCUUGCUGUACACCAAAAUGUCGUCAAAGAACACCAAGAUGAAUUUCCGGAGGUAAGGCUUAAAAAUGUCAUUCAUAAGGGCUUGGAAAGUGGCAGGAGCAUUUGUAAGACCAAAGGGCAUGACUAAGAAUUCAUAAUGCCCUUGGUGAGUUCGGAAGGCAGUCUUUUCCACAUCGGAGGGACAUACGGAUCUGAUGAUAUCCAGACCUAAGAUCAAGCUUAGAAAAAUACUGAGCGCCAUGCAAUUCAUCUAACAAAUCAUCCACUAAUGGAAUAGGAUAUUUAUCCUUAAUGGUAAUGCUGUUCAAUUCACGAUAGUCCAUGCAAAGCCUCCAAGUGCCCUCCUUCUUCUUGACCAAGAGAACUGGAAAUGAAAAGGGACUAUGACUUGGCUGGAUGAAUCCAGCAUCUAAAAGUUCUUGCACAGCUCGUUCAAUCUCAGUUUUUUGCAUAGGACCAUAAUGGUAUGGUCUAAUACUCGGAGGCUUGGAACCAGGAAGCAAUGGAAUCUGGUGAUCAUGAGCCCGUGGAGGUGGUAAGGUAGUAGGAGGCUUAAAAACCGUUUCAAAUUGCCUGAGCAUACCCUGCAGCUCAAUGAGUUGCUGGGGAUUCAAGUUGGAUGCCUCCAACGGAUUAGUUUCCAUUGAAUACAAUAAGACGCCCCAAUUAGAGUAUUUAAACUCUUUUUCAAGCUGUUGACAAACAGUAUCCUGUACCAAGUACGCUGGAGCAGUGGAAUGAACAAGUUUAUAGUGGUCUUUUCCCACAGAAAAUUCCAUGGUUAAGUUGUGAAAAUCCCACAAAACUGGACUCACAGAUGAGAGCCAUUUCACACCCAAUACAACAUCGCAACCCCCUAGAGGAAGUGCGUAGAGGUUAGUGUGGCAGCGAUAUGCACCCAAUUCCAAGGGAAUUUGUUGGCAACAGCCUUGACUUCGGACUUUACCCCCAUCGGCAAUCAUGACAUCGAAGGGUUUGGUGGUGUGACAAGGCCACCCGAGCUGCUUAAGCAACCUAGAAUCCACAAAAUUGUGGGUGCUACCAGAGUCAAGUAGUAUGGUAACAGGUAGAGUGUGAAGCACACCAGCCACUUUCAUGGUUUGUACCGUGGAGGGCUCAGUAGUGCCAUAGAACGCACAAGCACUCAACUCCAUGCUUGAUAGGGAAAGAUCAAUAGGCUCCAGUAAUUCACACUCUGUAGGUUCCAGCAAUUCACACUCGGUAGGCUCCAACUCAUUACAAACAUCAAGCAUAAGGAGCUGUUUAUUAUGGACACAUUUGUGCCCUCGAACCCACUUUUCAUUACAGAACCAACACUCGCCCUUGUCCUUCUUCCGUUGAACUUCCUCGGGGGUAAGUUUCUUAUAAGGGAGGGUUUGAGGAUGAGGCCUGGUAAGGGAAGGUAGAGGUAAGGCGAGAGGAGGUUUGAGUGGGGGAUGAGGUUUUGGGGGAGAUGGUUUCAAGUCCGUGAGUUUAGCAUUUAAUUGGGCAGCAAAGGAAAUGGCCUCAUGAACUGAGGAAGGGCGAAGCAAUUUAACAUCGUAACGCAAUUCCUUCUUGAGACCCCCCAGAAAGCAACUCUUUAAGAGAAUAGGACCAACAUCAUAGGUUCGAGUGGCAAGGCGCCGAAAUUCCACAAUAUAAUCACGAAGAGGGCCGGUUUGGCGGAGUUUGAAUAGCGACUCAGUGCAGUCCUCAAACUCCGGUGGACCAAAUUCCUGGCACAAAGCAGUCGUGAAUUCACCCCAGGUGGGAGUGGAAUGUACACAAUCGCGCCAACGAAACCAGUACAGCGGCUCAUUCUUGAAGUGGAAGGAGGCGGUCAAAACCUUCUGAUUCUCCGGAGUGUGAUAAUAAGCAAAAUAUUGUUCGGCCUUAUAGAUCCACGCUGAGGGAUCAUCACCGUCGGAGAAACGGGGAAAAUCCAGACGAUGUGACCGCUGCGGGCGAGGAGUAAAACCGCCGCCUUCAAAAGAAUCACGGCGCUGAAACCGUGGAGUGUCGAGACAACGAAAAUCGCCAUCAUCGGUCACAAUGGGAGGAGGAAUAUGUGGAUCUGGCACUAGAGGUGGUGGUGCAGUCGAAGAGCCAGCACCGCCUUGAGGACCAGGGUCGCGAUGGAGAUGCUCCAGGAGAAGGGCGAAUUUGGUUUCGAGAGCGGUGAAGCGGGUGUCGGAAUUGGCGUUGGAAGUCUGGAUCAGCUGAGGAAUGGCUCCCAUGGCUUCCAGAGUAGCUUCCACGGCGGAGAGGCGCGAUUCAACAGUGGACAUUCGAGAAUUUGUGGUGUGGCGGGGCAUACAAGAGGGAGACUCAGGAUCGAGAGGCUGAUACCAAUUGUUAGGUCAAAACUUCUAAAUUCCCUUUCUCGACCUGCUAGUAGCUGAUAGUAAUGGCGGUGAGUGAGUGGGAAGGAAAAUAGAGAGAGAUAGAAAGUUUCUUGUAAUAUUGUUUUUCUAAUUCAAUCCUGCAGAACAAUGCCACAAUUUGGUUCUUAUACAACCAUCCUUCUCACAAUGCCAGCUGGCUACUAACAAUAACGACAUGUAGCUAAAUAGUUUUCCACUAUUAUUCUAACCACUAUUAUAAUCAUAACACCCACAUUCGGGAAUUCUGUCAAACAGUUUGCAGACACACAGACGGGCGAAAACAGAACUACCAAAUUAGACCUCACAGCAACCGAAUCACUAUUCGAGAACAUACCCAUCAUUGGAUCGCAGAUCACGGGGUCCCAGGCGUAGUCGUGCACGAGCUGGCGCAAGGAGACGGCGAAAUGCGGGGAGGGAAUUGAGGGUGUGGAAGAGGGAAUUGAAAGUGGGGCCGGGGAGGUGGAAAGAGAGGGAGAGAGAAGUGGGGAGCUUGGAGGAGGAGAGCAGCGGAGAGAGGGAGGAGAAGAAGGGUCUGAAGGCGAAGAGAGAGGCGGAGAGAAGAAGGAAGGAGAGGAUGGUUUUGACGGCGGCGAGGAGGGCGGUGAGAAAUGGAGCUGGGUUUUGGAGGUGGAGGAAUGGGUUGAGGUCUAGGAGGAGGACGAUGCGCACAGUGCCUGCCUAUCAUGUAAAACCAUUGACAAUGAUACAAGACAGUUUAUUUGGACCUAUAAAACUAUAUUUAUGUAAAACUAUAUUUUAUUCAAUUUCAAAAAUUAGUACAUGCAAUGACAUGUUUGAUCGUAAAAAAAAAAAAAAUGAGAAAUUUUCAGUGUAUCAGAAAUACGAAUCGGUAAAAAAUCUCUCCAAAAAUACAUAUGCAUGUUUUAUUCAAAAGGAAAGGAAUGAGGCGCCAUCAUCCCUAACACACUUUAUUACAAGUAGUAUCAUCCAUUGAGGCAGAGAAGUUAAUUAGAUGCUGUCCUUAAUGGAUGCACUAUAACCGUUGUCAUAGAACCUGUUCCAAAGCAUAACUCCUCCGUACUUGGCCGAAUUCUUAAUUGUUGGAAGGACUUGUGACUUGAGAGCAUCAGCAGGAAUAAAUCCGCUGCGCGCGGCAUCAGUAGACGCCGGUAUCCCCAAGAACACCUGGGUGGCCGAAACCGAGGCCCAUCGGUUCCAACUGCUCAAAAGAGCGUCGGCAUUACCGUCUGCAUACUGGCAUUGGGCUAGGGGGUUGUUGUAGAACUGAACCCAAACGUAGUCAAAUAAACCGGUUGGAUAGCGCCGUCUAGGUGAGUAUCCGGGAACGGGCAUUGUGGAGCUGCGGCUAAAUAGACCGUUUUUCCCUGUCCGUUGUGUCCUUUGAGUGACCUGGCGAGCUCGUCGUAGAACUGCGUACCACCCAACUCAAUGUCGAAAUCGACGCCGUCCAAAACCGCGUCCCCAAGCGGGCGCGAAUCUGACUGACCACCUAGGAAGUUGUUCCAGAUGUAAUCAGCAACUUGCCUUGCCUCAUCAGCUGAAGUGAGAGAGUAAGUUUCGGUGGCCCCUCCAAUCGAGAGGAGGACUUUUAUGUUUUUUGAUUGGCAGGUUCUGAUGUCGGCACUCUGCCCCGUGCAAGUACCACUAGCGGGGUUGCAGUGGCCGGCGAGGUUUAGGACAGGGGCUUGGUUGUUUCCAAAAGUUGAGAGGAAAGCUAUGUUAACAAACUGGUAGUUGCCCGAGUUGCAAGCUUCUGCUAGGGUUCCUUCGUUGCCGUUUUGGCCCCAAUACGUCGCGAUUCCGGCGGCUUGGGAGGACUUGCAUGAAGAAAUGAGGAUCAAGAGGGACAGAGUUAGGGCUAGGGUUUGUGUUUUGGAUGCCAUUUUUGUAUGUGUUUUUUUGGGUUGUUGCUCAAAGUGCUUGGGAGGGGACAUGUAAUUAUAGGUGCAGGAGACUUACUGGUUAAGGUUUGGGGGAAGAAAAGUAUGACAGACGUGUUCUGCAGGUAAGAAAUGGGUGCCAGUCUUCCUCUUGCAACCGCGUCAAUCGAGUUAGCUGGGGCCUGUUUAGUCCAAGUCUUCCAUAAAACGCCGAUUAAGUUAGGUUGUGUUGAAAAUGCUUUCUUCAAAAAACACUUACACACGUAAGCGCUUCUUAUAUUUUUCAUAAGAAUGCAGGUGCUUUUGAAUAAAACACUUAAAGUAUUCAUCAAUUCCUCCCUUGAACUUGUGAUCAUUGGCCAAUUUCACCCCUCAACUUUAAUUUUGGCCAAUUUCCCCCCUCAACUCUCAUAAUUAGUCAAUUUGCACUCUACUGUUAAUUUUCCAUCUAUUCUUUUUUUUUUUCUUUCAAUCUUUCUAAUAACUUCCAACAAAGUACUAAAAUUAACAUAAACUCACCUGCAUAAUAUAGGGUAAAAUGUACAAAAACAUAAUACAAUUAGUAUGUGAUAUGGGUUGAUUAUAAAAAAAAUGUUAUGAAUCGGGUUUAAAGCAUGUAGAAGAAGAAAUAAUAAUCCUAAACUCAUGGAUCAGACCUAUUUCAAUAAAAUGUGUUAUUCUUAAUAAGGAAUCGAAAAUUAUGAAUUGACUAGUCAUUUUUGCACUAAAGCUCGAUUCUCCACAAUUUACUUGAACUUAGCUUUCACUUUUAUAAAGAAAAUUGUAUUCACAUACAAAAAUGUACACAUCAAUCCUUUUCGUUAUCAAUUUUGUAUAGUAAAAAAUCAAAUAAAAUUACUCCAUACUGAUUUAUUAUGACUAAUAAUACUAUCUAUGAUAAAUUGUAAAAUUCUAAAUUUUAAUCUAGUUGUAAUAGGAUAAAGACAUAGGAAAAUGAUUAACAUACAUCUUAUUUAGUUUCUUACACACACUUGUUUACUUAUGAUCAAAUUAAAAAAUUAACAGUAGGGUGCAAAUUGACUAAUUAUGAGAGUUGAGGGGGGAAAUUGACUAAUUAUGAGAGUUGAGGGGGGAAAUUGGCCAAAAUUAAAGUUGAGGGGGGAAAUUGGCCAAUAGUUACAAGUUCAGGGGAGAAAUUGAUGAAUACCUCAAACACUUAAGGUGUUUCGCAUGUGCGCUUUUUUUUUCAAAAAGAAUUUUAAAUGUUUUUUCAACCUAAAAAUCCAUUAAAGCUCCUUUACUUGUUUUAAAGGCACUUCCAAAAUAAUAUUUAAAGAAAAAUUACUUCUAGAGAGAAUUAUAACAUGCUAAUUGAGAGAUCCCAAAUUUAGAAACUAGAUAGUUAUGAAGUGUGACCUUAACUGCAUAAUUAGGUGAAAAAAGCCAUCAAAUUUGACAAAAAGUCUGAUGAAAGGUCAUAGCUGUAUGCAUAGUCCGUAGAUGAGAUAAUCAUGAAACAAUACGUGGGGAAUCAACGCAUCCUCAUCAUUGUCAAAAUAAAUCAGUGUUCCAGAAACACGACCCGAUAUACAAAGUGUUUUAACAUCAAUUGAACGUUUUGGAAGUUUGUGGAUAGAAACCAAAUGGAAUAUGCUUGUAACCAAAAUUGCUGGCUGCUAUAUACAUCUUGGAUUUUAGCUGAGGUGGCCAUUGGCCAAGGACUUUGGUCUAAUCACGAUGCUUUAAUUUCGCAAUCCAAAAAAAAAAUUCAGAUAAAAUUUAGAACACGUUUUGGGAGUGUUUUCAAAUUACUGAAAGCGAUUUUAGAAAGAAAAAAAAUGUUUAUAUAACUAAUCUUUAAUAAAAAUGCAAGUUAAUCCUCCAAAAGUACUGAAACUAGUGCUUCUUUGAUAAAACACUUCAAGUGCUUUUGGAGCUCAAAAAUAUUAUCUCAAGUGGUUUCAGUCGUUUAAAAACACUUUCUAAACUAGUUAAUGACUCGUGUAUGGGGCAACAUUUAGCAAGUAACAGCUCUCAUGAAUUGGAUCGUGGUGAUGUGAAAAUGGGUUUGGGUAAGUUUAGUUUAGACCAGUCACCAGUGUAUAAAAUAUCCACGGCAUUGUCGAUAUUUUCGUCGAAAUAUCCUUAAAAUUAAGGGUCCAUAAGGAAAAGAUGGGUGAAAUGCAAAUUUCACCCUAUAUCGGCGAUCUAUAAGAAAACAAUGAAUAUCGACAAUAUUUACCGAUUAACUACAAAAUUUUGCUGAAACCUAUUGCAGAUUUCGAACUUUAGAAUUUUUUUUUAUAAAUUUUUUCUUUAAUUUCGACUAAAUCUGAAUGAGUUGAUACUUAAUAUGCUUAUCCCAUUGUAAAUUUCCAUUGAAGACUUUCCAUCUAUAUCAAUAUUUUAAACAUUGGUUUAGACCCACAUGUUUAAUAUCGAGUGCAUGCAAAUAGAAUGUCAAAUCUUUCGGAAAAACUUCAAUAGGACUGCCACUUAAGGGCAACUAGAUUAUUAAAGAGACGAAUGCAAGGUUGGAUGAGACUAAUAUACAUAAAGUCUCGUGUUUUGGUGAGAUGUGGUCUACAAAUGAUAUAGCAUGUGCCCUACGAAAAACAAGAUCAGAUUACCUAUUUGAAGUUUCUCUAGUAUGAAAAAUUCAAGAGGGAUGUGACGGUUCCGGAAAAUAAAAAAAUCACACAUUUUUAUUAAUAAUUUUUUUGUUCGAAUUCGGAAAUGUUUAGAACUGAACUAAUGGAAUAGUAGCUCAGUGAUACCAACAAUUUCAUGCUGCAAAUCAUAAAAAAUGGAACUGUUUUACAUAAAAAUUAAUGACAAUUAGAGUUAAACAACAGAAGCUUGCACUUCAAAUGGUUUUUUUCUGCUGCUUUUGGUAUGCAUAUGCUUUUUCCAUGUCUCGAUGUAGUUCCAGUUCACUGGUCAUCAUCCUGGAACAAUGCUUUCGAAACAGAGCCGCACGGCUGGCUACUGUAUUCUCGGUAAUCUUCAUCGUCAUCCCAGCUGCGUUGCGAGCAUGAACGUUUGAUUCCUGUCAUUGGGGUUUCACAUACUCUGUCAUCACAUGAACCUCUACGAUCCUUCCUUUUAAACAGCUUUCGAAGCGGAUUUGACUUUGGUUUCAAUGGUUUCAGCUGUUUUGGGGCCCAAACUCUCUGCAAAUCAGGCAUCCAUCUUGUGGAUGAAGCGAAUCUCCGAGCCCUCUCUCUCCUCUCUUGAGCUUCAAGUAACUUGCGAGCAUGGUCGUCAUUUUGUUUGAUCUCUUCAGCGCUCGGUCUUCCAAUAUCAGUUUUCAGCGGACGAAGAGACUCACCUUCUGCUGAUAAUGAGUCCCAGAUUCUAUAACUUUCAUCCACUUCGACACUCUUUGGUUUUUCUUUACAGGAUCGAUUGCUAUCCUCACUGUUGAGUAAACUAUUAGGGAGUUCUUCCUCAUCGGCAAACAGUAGCAAAUCCAUUUUUGUAUAGAUUUUGUGAACCACAUCUUCAAGUGUCUCACAGUACCUGAAAAUGUCCAAAUUCAAAGAUUAUUCUAUCUGCUUAAUUUUCCAUCUCAAACAAAAAUUGAUCACCUGCACUUGUAUUUCGGGAAACUAAUUGCAGGAAUGAAUUAUUUAAGCUCCAUCGUUUCAAGGAUCAUACCGUAGGCUAAUAUGCUAUGCAGAAGUUGUAUAAACAUAUUCCUCACUCGUUCAGAAAAACAAUGUUACAAUGUGCGUAUAACUGGCCUAUAUCCUGUAAAUCUACACUAAUAAGGAAACACACUUAACUCAUCUAAGAUUAUAAAGAUAAUCACUUUCCUUUUUUAGCAUUAUUGCAAAGGUAAGUAGGAGAACAGUGGCACCGGAAAUGUGUAUUUGAUGAGACAUGAACGGUAGACUGAAUGAGUGUGGAGAAAGCCACAAUGCCUCAGUAAAACAUCCAUUAUAUAAAGUAAAGAAUAAUACGAAAGGCAGGGGUUUUCAACUCUGAUAUUUAUUACCUGCUUUUUAUGAUCUUUUCAACAUAAUCAUCUACACUCCAGUCACCAAAGAAGCCCUCCAGAUGACAUCGAAUUUUCUCCAAACAAGAGCAAAUCUGUUUUACAAACUUCUGUUUCAUAGAUUCUGCAAUACUUGCACCAACCUCUGAUUGUAGUAUCUCCAUCCGGAAAAAUAUCUGCAAUUCAUAUCUAGUACUAGGUGAAGGAAAAGUGUAAAUGUAAUUGGAGACAAAUUUUCAUAUUAGUAGAGUUAUAACUGGAUUAAUGCAUAAUACAGAAGACAGUUAAGUUAUAAAUGAGAAAGGAUACUCUCGAACUAAUUUUCCAGAAGUCAGUCCUUCGGAUUGUGAAUCAGAUGCUUUAACAGACGGGUCGGAGCUUUUCUGCCUUGCAGUGAUAUCCUUGGGAUCUCUCAGUAGAAGUUUUAACACCUCAGAAGCAACCAAAUCAUCAGUAGCACCAGAUUUUACAAGGGAAGUUUGACUCUCUGAAAGGGUUUCUGUUUCCCACUUUUUAUUUAACCAAUAUAUGGAUGAAUUCACAAGCCGAUAGGCCAAGGCCCCCAAGUCUACUGCUUCAUAUUCAAGCCCCUGUUGUAUCUUGUUGGAUAGACUACUGAAAAAAGCUUCUGACGUUUCUGAUCUACAUUCCAAAGCGGCUUCAUCUUGUAUGCCAGAAGCCACAGUCAAAGAAUUUUCUCCAAUUGAAGGAGAUGAAGAAAUUGGCUGUUCACUUUCAUGGUGCAAGUUAUCCAACCUAUUGUCCAUCCCUUUUCUAUUGAGCUGGUCUGCCUGGGAUUCUUUCUCCACUAUUAGACCACGAUCGCUAGACUUCUUAAUCUGUUUCAUCCAGCAUUUCAGAAAUCGCAUCUUUUUUGAGUUAUAACAUUCCCUGGCAAAGUAAACCUCUUCCAAACCUAUCUCUGAGUGUUCAAAUGCUGCCUUGCAGAAGGCACUCCAUGUGAGAUCUUGUAGCAACUGUGAAUUUCUUUUGCUAUUUCUCUUCCUUCCCUCCUUCCCUGCAGAAUGCUUAUUGGAUGGCCCAGUCUGGUCCAAAUCAGCAUUCGGUUUGCAAAUCCCAUUCUUCAUAUUUCGACUUAAUUGGUCUGCUUUUGUCUGAGGGUGAAAUCCUUCAUCCACAAUAAACAGCAGAGCCGAAGAAACUGUGAAAGGUUUGAGGAUUCCCGUAGACAAUACACCAGUGUCACUUGAAAGGGACACUAAUGCUCCUUGACCAUUCCUAUAUAAGAAACUCAAGAGAAUCUGCCAAAUGGGCGCUGAUUUUCUCUUCGCAUUCUCUCCCAAGUCCGCUUCUAGCAUUUCUAGAACCUUAUCUGCAUAAUAAUUGCCAGAACCUUCUUUUCCAUCUUCACCAGGUUUAACCGAAACAUCACAGACAAGGAGAGGAUCAGAUAAGUGGCCCUUGAAAUUCGAAAACUCAUUGUACUUUUGCAAAGCCUUAACCUGGAACUUUGUCAUGCCUUUGCCGAAAUUCCCCCAGAACAAUUCUUUCAGUUUACCACCUUUUGUUUGUGAAUUUAGGAUUUCUAGGGAAAAGAAAGCAUCAUCAGCUGCAUUUCUAGGCAACAUCUUCAAAUCAACCAAUUGAAGAUCACAAACCUUGCAUUCCAAAGGCUUCCCACUUACAUCUAAGAUCUCGAGACUCAACUGCGCAUUGACUUUCUUAUGACUAUCAUCACAACCGAAAAACUUGGAUGAAAUCCCAAUCUCGGGAUAAAUCAAACCAAAAGGAACAAGAGCAGAACCAAGAACAAUCGAACCAGUGGAGCAAAAUCCCCAUCCCAAACUCCUAACCUCACUCUCAAAAAACCCAAAUCUCGUCUCAUCCUCAUCGUUCCCAACCUUACCCUCACCACAUUCUAAUUCAUACCUGACAUCAACCCAGCUACACUGAAUAUCUCUACUCACAAAUGCAUCAUUCACAUUCUCAAAGAAACCCCGAAAUCUCUCAGAAAACGCAUUCACAUUUUCCAAAGACUCGUCACCCACACCCACAUUCAGGAAUUCUGUCAAACAGUUUGCAGACACAGAGACGGGCGAAAACAGAACUACCAAAUUAGACCUCACAGCAACCGAAUCACGAUUCGAGAACAUACCCGUCAUUGGAUCGCAGAUCACGGGGUCCCAGGCGUAGUCGUGCACGAGCUGGCGCAAGGAGGCGGCGAAGCACGAAGCCCGGGGCAGCGAUGCCGGAUCGCGGCGAAAUGCGGGGAGGGAAUUGAGGGUGUGGGAGAGGGAAUUGAAAGUGGGGCCGGGGAGGUGGAAAGAGAGGGAGAGAGAAGUGGGGAGCUUGGAGGAUGAGAGCAGCGGAGAGAGGGAGGAGAAGAAGGGUCUAAAGGCGAAGAAAGAGGCGGAGAGAGGAGGGAAGGAGAGGAUGGUUUUGACGGCGGCGAGGAGGGUGGUGAGAAAUGGAGCUGGGUUUCGGAGGUGGAGGAGUGGGUUGAGGUCUAGGAGGAGGACGAUGCGCUGCGUUUUGCCGUAGUCGGCGAUUGGGUCGCCGGAGCUCCGAUCAGAUGCCAUCGCAUUUGCAGGAGGAGAAAGAGAAGGAAUUUGGCUGCAGAGAAGAAGGGAGAUGCAAAUGUGGAAUUAAGGAACAGUAAACCGAAUACGCCGUCGUUUUAGGAGAAAAACAACGAUAUGGUAGAUGCUUGAGCGGGAAACCAAAUUUUGGCGGUAAAGCAAAUGUUUUAAUCUGAUCAAGGACCUGUUUGGACUGCUUCUAAAUUUGUUAAAAGCGCUUUUAGAGAACGAAAGAGCUUUUGACAUCAGUUGAAAAAAUAAAAAUAUUUAAAGUACUUCUUCAUGUUAAAAAAACACAUGGUUUAUAACGGAAAUUUCAACAUGAUUUGAAUGAAAGUGCAUUCCAAAAGUAUUAUGAAUAGAUAUGCUUUUCAAUAUGCUUAUAAUAAAAGUGCUUUUUGCAAAUGAUGUCGGACUCGUUUAUAAUUGCUUUUAAAAUGGUUGAAAGUUUAUUUUGUAAAAAUGUUUUUAGAACAAAUAUUUAAUAAAAAUACAAGUGAAUUAAAAAAAAACACUUCAAGAAUAAAACAACCAAAGGGGCAAAAACAGGACAACCAAAUUAGACCUCACAGCAACUGAAUCACAAUUCGAGAACAUACCCAUCACCAAAUCACAAAUAGCUGGUCCCAAGUGUAGUCGUGCACGAGCACAUUUAGAACCAAUAUUUUCUUUAAAAAUGGUCUCAAUCAUUUUAAAAACAUUUUCAAACGAACCCGUCAUUUUUAGGAGAAACACAAUGGCGCAAAUGAUCCUUAGGUGAGAAGAAAAACUAGACAUAAUGUUAAAUAGCACAUUAUGUACCAAUUUUUCUUCAACGGGGCUGGGACUACUAAGAAGUUUGGAAACUAAACAGCAAAGAUUGACUCUAAGAAAUCAAACCUGAUGAUUGCUUAUAAAGUCGAACUAUUUGAAUAGAUUUGACUACCGAAGACAAAAUCAUACAUAUGCGGAUCAUUAAAAGGUGAAAGAGGCCCAUAAAGACCAAAGCCAUAGCCCACAUAGCUGAUUUGGGCCAAUUGGCCCAUCUCAAUUCUAUUUUCUUUUUCUUUUUCUUUUUUUAGUUGAUUGGCGUGCUCUAUCCUCUCCCCAAACUCCAAACAUGGGGAAGAAAGCUGCAAACUUCCUCUCUCUUCAAACAAGAAAGCUGCAAACUUUCUCUCUCUAAAAUCCAACCCCUCAAAAGUUGCAAAAUUACAAGAGAGUCCCAACAUGUCCGCCAUUUCUCUCACCAAGUUCAUCGUCUUCUCUUCCAUCGCUUCCUCAACUUUCCCAAAAUAUCCAACUCCUUACCCUUCACUUUCACCCAAAUGCCCAACGUAUCCCCUCACCCACUCUUCCAGAAAGAUUUCGGUCUCGGUAUUUUCGAAGCCUUCCGAGGCGGAGGAAGACGAGGAGCUCCCGUCGGCGCCGGAGGACGAGUGGCUGAAGAAGCUGCCGGACAAGAAGAAGCCGCUGUACGCCCACAGCCUCCCCUGCAUCGAGGCCUGGCUGAGGAACUUGGGGUUUUACCAGAGCAAAGAGGACCGGGCGGUUUGGCUGGUGGAGAAGCCCGAGUGGCACGCCCAGCUCUCGCUCGACAUCACCGACUUGUAUGUGAGGUUGGUUUUCUGUUUUCUCUUCUGGGUUUCUGCCAUUUCUGCUGUACACACACACAUAUAUGUAUAUGCGUGCUGAAUUUUUGGCUGAUGGAUUGAUUUGGUGGUUUAGUGUUAAUUUUAUUGAGAAAAGAUCAUGAAUUUAAUCAGCCUGUGUGUUAAGUUUUAGAAUUUACAGUUUGUUUUGUUGCGAUACAAGUCGGGUUGCUGUGAGAUUGAAUUUGAUACCGAAUUUUAUAGAAAAAUGUAGUGAAAUUAGAGUGGACAAUUUGUGGAUGGUAGGAUGAUUGCACCUAAACUCGGAUAAAAGUGGAGUUUUAUUAGGCCUCUAUUAGUCUUCCAUGCCUUUGGUCCAUUUAUAGCUUCCAGUUUCUGUGAGUGAGUGGUUUACUGUGUUAACUUGAUCCGGUUGGCCGGUUGAAUUGGAGGUCAUGAUGGUGGAUUCAACUGCGAUUCCUGGAAAUAGUGUGGAUUCACAGAAAAAUGGAAAGGAAUCAAUGUGUUGUGGAAUGGGAACGAUAUAAGAGUUUGUUUAAAGGCUUCUUUAGGAUUGGCUCGAUUGGAUAUGUGGCUAAGUCCCAUUAUCACAUUCUAAGUUUCACGAAUGAGAUUGUGCGCUUGAUGACAUGAGCUAGUUAUAGACGAUAGGAAAUGGCGGUGAUGGUUGAAAGCGGGAAGCUUGAGGUUGUGGGGAAAGAUGGAGAAACAGACUGAUUACUUGAAAGUGUUCGUAUUACCCUGCAUCACCUCUAGUUUUUCCUUUUCACAUGACUGUGUCUCCCCUUUUUUCUUGGCGAUGUUCUAGAUCGUUGCUUGAAAUUGUUUCUUUUUUCUGAACCUUUUUGUUAUAUCAAAUAUUACUGCUGCUAAAUAUUUAACUGGUGAUGUAGGUAUCUAAAGACUGGACCAGGAAACCUUGAAAAGGAUAUGGAGAGGCGAUUUAGUUAUGCGCUGAGCAGAGAGGACAUCGAGAAUGCAGUGCUUGGAGGACCCUGAGGACAACAAAACAAUUGUUCCUGCAGGCAUCUAGUUUGCUCUUCUGAAUUUAUCGACCUCCCAGAAGGCACCUAUUACUUCUGGUUGACGGACUUGUGUGAAUAGGUUACUAUCGAUUCUUACACUAGGACUUUUGAGACGAAUAAUAGGCUGUGCUAUUAUUUAUAACUUAAAUUAGUCCUCAUGAGAGCUUUCGUGAUCAAAAUCGUUAUUUUUAGGUUACAGCUAGAACUUUAGGGAGGUGCUGAUUGGUGCAAAUGCUUUAGACAAUUUCAGAUCGAAUGUAUUCUUCUUUUCAUGAUAAAAUCGAAUGUAUUCUUCUUUUCAUGAUAAAAUCGAAUGUAUACUUCUGUACGAUGAAUCUUCGAUUUUAUUUUCCUUUGAACGCAAAUGUAGACGAUGUUAUUAGUACGUAACUAGCCUGAUCGGCAUUUCUGUAAUCAGUUUUCGAUCGUGUGAUGCAGAACCGGAAAAUUCUUUUUUUUUUCAAAGUUAUACAGAAUGAAAGAAACACAAUGUGCGAUUUUCGUCAAUUUAGAAGAAGAGCCGAUUGCACAGCAGCAAAAUGAUGUAACAAUUUUCGAAUUGGAUCUAUAUACUCUUAUUGAUUUUAAAAUGUACAGUAAUUCUCUUGCGUUUGACAACAACUUGUCGCGCAAGAAAUGUCUAUUUCCAGUUUCUGCAUCAUGAUACAUAUACAGUUCAUCAAUCAAGAUCUGCGUUUUAGAUUACGUUCAUCGCGGUGUUUUAGAUUACAUUCAUCGCCGUGCUGGGAACGGAUACCUACAACCUUAUGCAACCUGAUGUGCUACUAUUGAUCUGGACUAAGUAGUCGAUUAUUCUUCAUUGCCUUCGAGAAAAUAAGGUAGAGAUAUUAUACACACGCUUCUUCGGCUAGCAACGUUCUAUAGUUUACACCAAUCCUCCUUUUCACUAUGCUUCAUCUCUUCGCUACCCAGCCGUGGCAAAAUGGCGAGAUGAAACAAUGAAACACCGCUACUUUCAAUGCGAUUCUGCAGACUGGAGAUGAGACCAGUAUUCCUUGACAAGCUGCCCAAAUAGCGAGCCUUCUCUUCUCAUCAAGUUCAUUGGCUCGUCAUACUCCACAAUUUGUCCUGAAAUGGAUAAACGUGUUUCAUCAAUGUUACUCUCUUUUUCGAACAAUUAUGAACGAAUAAGAACUGGUAUAUAUUAUGUACUUGGAUGAGAUCACGAGAAGCAUUUUGAAGGAGAGAGUGAGAGUGAAACUCACCGUCACUGAUGGCAAGAACCAUUGAACAAUCCAUCACAGUCGGUAUCCUGUGAGCUACCGUGAUCACAGUGCAGUCUGCAAAUUCAGUUCGGAUAGUUUUCUGAAGAAUUGUAUCAGUGGCAUUGUCAAUUGAUGCGGUUGCUUCAUCAAGCACUAGUACCCGACUUCUUCUCAAAAGGGCACGCCCCAAACAGAACAAUUGCCUUUGUCCCAUGCUCCAGUUUGAUCCAUCUUCCACAACUGAGUAACAGGGCAUCAGUUAAUACAGCUGAUCACAAUUUCACAAAACAAAACGCUCGCCACCAUCCUGAUACACCGAAAAUCUUACCUAAGGAGUCUAAGCCGCUUUCCUUCUCCUGAACAGGCUCUCGAAGCUGACACUUCCCAAGAACCUUCAGUACGUACAAAUAAGUCAGUUGCUUAGUUUAAAAUUUCAACCAUGCUGAAUUAAACAGUCAAAAAGGAAUAAUACAGCAAACAAGCUUAUAUAACUCGACAGUAUACCUCCCAUAUUUCGUCAUCUGAAUGUUGAGACAAGGGAUCCAAAUUGUAUCUCACAGUUCCGUUGAAGAGGGUAGGAUCUUGAGGUAUUAUUCCAAAACGCGACCUUAGAUCAUGCAAUCCGAUUGUAGAGAUGUCAAUGCCAUCGACUAUAAUCUUCCCUCCCGCUGGCUCUACUAAACGAAAUAGAGCACCUAUGAGAGUAGACUUUCCACUGCCUGUACGACCAACAAUACCAAUCUUGUGUCCUCCUUCAAAAAUGCAACUGAUCCCACGAAGAACGAGUGGUGUAUCGGGCCUAUAUCUGAUCUGUUAUGACAUGAAAAUUCUCAGUAAGCUUCUUCAAGGUAAACCUUGACUAGUUCUAGCACCAAAGCAACCAAUAUUUACCUGCAAAUUUUGUAUCUCGACUUUACCUACAGCGGGCCAAUUGGUUGGAGGACGGUUUCCUUCUACUACUUCAGGGGCUUCACUCGGUAUAUUCAUGUACUGAUCUAGUCUUUCAACAGAAAUAAUGUAAUUUGCGAUACUGCACUGGAUCUGAAUUGAAAACAUCAAGGAAACGUUCAAUGAAAGACCAUACGAAAGUGCCAUCCCAAUGAAUCCUGCAGUGACACAGUAAUUGCUGUAAGUCUUGAUAGUUUGAAGUCAUACUACAUACAUAAGAGAUGUCAAAAUUACUCAGAAGAUUGCAACACUAAGAAUGUCAGGAUUCUUUUCCCUUUUAUCAAAGUUUGGAAAACUCACCAGCGCUGAAAGUUCCAGGAGGAAGCAAAGUCAUACAGAGUGCUGCAGAAGAAAGAACGGUUGCGCUUAUAAAUUCUAGCCGUAGGAUCAACCAUUCAUUCGCCGCAAAACUGUGGAAAUAAGGACUAGCAUUUGUGUCAAUGAGAUCAAAGUUCUUCUCCAAGAACCGCUCUUCUUCAUGGAAAGCUCUUAUUGUAAUCGCUCCUGACACCGACUCUGCUACAUGGUUUGCUACAAGGGACUUGGUUGUGCCAUUGAUUCGCAUCAACUCUUUUCCAGUCGAAAAGUAGUAUUUCUGAAAACAAGAAAUGGUGUAUCCACAGACGUUGUUUCAGAAAAAAGUAAAUUACUUUGCUAUUUCAGUUUCAAGUUCCAAUUUUUCCUCAAUUUCUAAUAGAGAGAAAUAUCACAACACAUAACACAUUGAUAGAAUCAUGCAGCCAGUUGAAGGAAUACAGAUUCUUCCUAGUAUAAGGAAUAAAAGAACUUGGUACGGCAUUACCUGUAGGGAAAUUGCCACAUAGAUCAUCGGUAUGGAGACAAACAGGACUUGCCAGGUAACGACAGCCAGUACUCCGAGAUUGGCAUAAGCGUUCAUAGUAGACCCACAGGCAAAGACUAGGUUGAACGGAACAUCAAGAUCUACGAUACUCAGAUCAGAUGACACCUACCAAAAAAAAAGCAACGCAAAAAGAUGUUAGUUCCUUGAAUGCCUACUAAUCUAUAAGCACACUUUCUGUUUGAAAUGCAUACCCGACUAAGUAUCCUUCCCAGAGGUGUUGAGUCAUAAAAAGACAUGGGUGCACGGAAAAGGGAACUCAGUAGCUGUGAGAACAAAGACUGAGAUGCCUCAAGACCCAUAAUAACUGUUAAAAUAGAUCUGAACAGUAGAAUAAAUGUUGCGGAAAAUCCAAUCAACAAGUAAACCGCAAUCAAUCGCAAUGUGCUAACAUUGGGAUUGUCAACGUUAGCAGCCAUCCAAGAGUUCUGCCCUAUCUGACUCAUAACGAAAAUGAAGUGUAAAAGAACUGCGGCUGAGAAGUACAAGAAUCCAUUCUUCUGCUUCAAAUACAGUACGAACGGCUUAACACCUAGUUCUCCUGUUUCUCUCUCUUCUCGUUUAAUCAAUUGGUCACCUUUUUCUGGUUUGAGUUGCUUUUCUACAUAUGUCUUCUUAAUCUCUCUGGACGAUAUUCCAGUUUGGGCCGCAGUGGCAUCUGCAAGCCUUUCAGAACCAGCAGUUUCUUUGUGUGCAUUCACAAGAUCCUGAAACUCUUGGCUUGAGGCCAAUAGAUGGUGAUAAGGAGCUGCUUGUAGGAUUUCCCCAUCUAACAUCAACUGUAAAAAAAGUUAAUUAGAAGUUAUUCUUAGAAAAACCGCUUCUGCUAUGAAAAUAGCGAUGAAUAAAAAUCCGAAUAGCCUAGAGUUAAAAGUUGACUAACCAAAACAGAAUCAAAUGCAGGCAGGAAAUCAACUUGAUGGGUCACAAGUAAAACCGUCUUCCCUGAAAGUGCUUCCAUAACAUAUUCCUGCCAAUGUACAAGUUAGCACUAAAAGCCAGACGAUAAUCAAAAAGGCACUGCCAGUGUUAGGAUAGAGUACUUACAUUGAAUAAGUUUGUAGCAGUAUGUGCAUCAACAGCACUGAAUGGAUCAUCCAAGAGAUAUAUAUCAGCAUUCUGAUAGAGAGCACGGGCAAGUUGGAUUCGCUGCUUCUGACCACCGCUCAGAUUGACCCCUCUCUCCCCUAUUUCAGUAAGGUCGCCAUAGGGGAGCAGCUCAAGGUCCUUUACAAGUGAACACCUCUCAAGUGUUUCUCGGUAUCUUUCAGUAUCCAUUGGAGAACCAAACAAAAUAUUUUCUUGGAUCGUCCCUGUCUGAAUCCAUGCUGUUUGAGAAACAUAUGCCGUCUUCCCAAAAACUUGAAUCUGCAAGUCAAGAAGAGAAAUUAAAGAUGAUACUUGCAUAAGGUGAGACUCUGCACAAUAUUGAAUCGUAAUUUUUAGCUAUCAAGGGAAAGUAAAGCGGCAACUUACAUUUCCUCGAACAUUUGGAAUUUCUCCAAGAAUUGCAGCUAAAAGGCUUGAUUUGCCUGAGCCGACUUCUCCGCAUAUAGCAACCUUUUCACCAGGUCUAACCUCUAAGUUUAUAUUUCUCAGAGUGGCCUUCGAAAUGUUCUCCACCCAUGAAAAAUCAGCCGACUUAAUAACAAUGGAGUGGGAUACAUUCUCCAUGUUCCUCUUCUGGACAUUUGAAGUCUGCAGCUCUGGUGCCUCAAGGAAUUUCACAAUACGUUCAAACGCAACCUUCGCUUGAAUGACAACCCCAAUAACCUCAGGAAUUGAUCUAAUGGGAUCCUGAACAAGGCGUAAAGUUGCUACGAAAGUAAAAACAUUGUUCGCAUGCAACGGAACCUUGAGAAAAUAACAUGCCCCAAAGGUUGCAGCAGACACCAGAACAGGGGACGACCAAAAGAGAUAGGAAUUAUACGCUUUUCUAUACUGCACUGCAGAUAACCAUUUGUGCUCCUCCUUCCUUAACCUCUCUAUCGCCUUCUUGAAAUGAGUUUCCCAUGCAUACAACUUCAACACCUUCAUGUUCACAAGAGCCUCGGAACUAGCCUUCAGUCUUUCGUCUUGUGCCACCAUAAGCUUAGACUGAAACUUAUGUUGUAACUUAGCAACUGGAGCAUUGCAAAUCACUGUCAAAACUAUCACCACCAACGCUGCAAUCGUAGCCAGGCCAACUGCGCGGAAAAGAAUCACCAAUGCAAGACAGAGCUGGAGGCCGGUCGUCCAAGUUUGGUGGAACCAAUAUGGGAACUCUCCGAUCCUAUAAGCAUCCACAGUAACGUAAUUCAUAAUCUCACCACCUGAGUGUGUCAACUUAGCAGCAUUCGAUAAUCUCAAUUGCUUCUUGUAAAUGGCCGAUGUGAGUAAAGACUUGAUUUUCACACCAAUAAGCCUGGAUCGUAAGUACCAUUGCCGUUGUGAAAUGGAUUCCGUGAUCUUUGAAAGGAAAAGUGCUAUGGCUAACGCGUACCCUUCAUAUUUGAAGCUUCCUUUUCCCUCGGCAACCAAUAUGAAGGCGUUAAGAACCAGUGGACAAGCAGAGACGGUGAGUACCUUCAGCAAAGCAAAGAAGCCAGACAGUAAAAUGUCUUUCCAGUGGCACAUGACUAUUGUUCUUAGUACUGAAGGUUGAGAAGAAGGUUCGAUUUGUUUCUGUUUGUUCAACCGCUCCAAGUACUGCAAAUAGCAACUUUCUGCUCGAUCUUCCUCACGCAGCUUGGGUAUAUCCUCUUCCUCUAGAGUUUUCUCCCUACCCUUUUUCAUCAGCGAGUUCAGCCACCAGAUUGUGGCUUUACUGAAAAAUCCAGCUUUGCUAAACGGCGUAACAUGAUCACUUUUACAGAUGCCGCCGUUGGACUCACCGUUCAGAGGCGUAUAAAGGUCAGUUGCGGUGAUGCUCUCGUCACCAUCUCCAUAUUUACUCCCCUUAUACGCACAUAACAGCAACAAUGUUGCUCCUGGGAAAGACAAUAUAUCUAAUACAGUCUUUGCUGACAAUUCUUUUCUGAAAAUGGCAGCAAAGAGCGAUGCAGCGCAGACGACUCCGGAAAACAAGAACGCAAGGAUGGACAACAAUCUUGACGGCUUCCUUGGAAGCUUUCUUCCGCGGAUGCUUAUAGUUAAACUAACCACCAACCAUGUGAACCCUUGAAACAACGAAAGUAGCCACCAAUUCAAAGGCAAAGCAGUACGAGUACUCCUCAGAUUCUCUUCCAGAAUCCAGACUCCCAGCCCCAAGUACACAAUUCCAAGGCAGCCAUUGACAACAGCAGAGGCUAUCUGCAAACCCGAAAAGCCUUGAUAUCGGGCUGGAAUGUGAAGUGAUUUCGACGAUGGCUUUUGAAGCAUGUUAAACAAGAGCAUUGCUAGAAGCAAAAUGUCAAACCCAAUUAUCGACACAUGAUUGACGCAUGAAGAAGGUUGAAACAGAGACUGAAGAGUUAAAGUGAGUGCCCUUCCAGCUUCAUCCGAAAGACCGGAUUCCCCACAAAACGCAGUCCACAAAUCCUCCAUCAUGCUUUAAUUAACUCUGCAGUUACACAAUGCGAGAACAUACAACAAGAAACAAUCAGAUAACCCCAGAAACACAAAUUAACAAAAUCUUGGGGGAAAAACUGAAAAAAAAUGCGAACUUGAAGAUUCUUAACAUCAAUUUAGUCCAAAGAAUUAAAGGGCAUAUACCUUUUGGUUUUGUUUUGAUAAAUGCGGGAUCAAACUCAGGAUCUCGGGUUUCGGGUGCAAGAGUAGUAAAUGCUCUUAACCGCUCACAUGACCCAAGAACAGGAUGUCCUCCUCCUCCUCCUCUGAGGCCAAUGCUUCACAGAAAGCAAAACACCAAAGCAUUAGGUCCUAUAAAAAUUACCCAAUUUGUCACUCAGCUGUCCAAGUUAGAAAGAAUGUCCGGAAAUUAAAUCAAACAGUGUUUUGAAACUACGAACGUGAGAUGUGCAACUUGUGAUAAAUUCGACAUGCGACAACACGUUAAAAUAAUACGACAACAAUCACGUCUUUGUCUUGUGUUUAACAGCGACGUAAAGUUAAAAUAUUUGGUGGAAGAAAAACAGAGGAAGCAAAGCAAUUCAAGACCAAUCAAACAACUCUACAUAUAAUAAUAUAAUAAAAAUUGCAAUGAAAAAUAAUAAUUAUAAAAAAAAAAAGGGUUUUGGACUAACCAGGAACCCAAGAAACCCGAAAUCUUCAAUGUCCGUUUUUGCAAAACCCAGAAUUUAAUUUCUUGAAUUUGUUUAUUUUUGAGUUCUUUUAAUUUCCUUGAAAGAAAAAGAUGGAGUCUUUGCACCCGAUUGCUGAUGGGCUCCGAGUUUAUGGUAGAGACUGACAAAACGUGGGUUUAGAGAGAGAGAGAGAGAGGAGAGAAUGACUUGAGUUUUUAGUCAGCUUUUUUCGUCUAAGAAAAAAGUAAUGGUUGCAAAAUUUGCAACUGCGAGUCAAAAAGUUGUGGAUUUCUGAGAGAGGGAGAGGGAGAUGUGUAAGGUCGGAGUCGGUAUGUCGUCAUGGCUCACGUCUCUGCGUCUUGAAAACACGUGGGCUUUGUUCGUCCGUCGUUUCCUUUUCUCUGUGUGAUCCGCAGCCGUACUGGGAUUCUGUGGCUACGCAGGCGCAACUGCCCAGAUUUUAAUAUGCAUGUAUAUUCAAAUAAGAACAAAAAUUACGUAUUAUUAAAUAGAAAACACCGAAUACCCGUCAAACACCAAUCAAAUUGGAAAUGGUUUAUGCUCGUUUAGAAAUACUUUUAAAUGAUUGAAAGUGUUUUUAGGAAAAAUUUUGUUGGCAAGUACUAGCUAUAGAGCUUAUUUAGAUGUACUUUUAAAAUGACUAAAAAUACUUAUGGUGAAAAUGUUUUUGGAACCAAUCCUUAGUAAAAAUACAAAUAAAUUGUAGAAAAACACUUAAGUGUUUCUUGCUUUUUGAAAUAAGCACAUAACUGGUGCUUCUUGCAGAAAACACUUUAAGUGCUUUUGGAAUCAAAAAACAUUUUCUUUAAAAACGCUUUCAGUUAUUUUAAAAACACAUUCAAACGAACUCAUAUACUUCUUACAUGAAAUACUUUCCAUUGUUUUUUUAUUCAAGAUUAACUUACAUUUUUACCAAUGAUUUGUUUAAAAGCAUUUUUUUAAAACAGUUUUAGUUAUUUAAAAACACUUCUCAAACGAGAAACUAGUCAUCUACAAGUAUAAAACAUAAACACAGUUUUAGGGACAAUAAAAGUAGGGGUAUGCUAUCCAUACAUCCUAUUUUACUUCUCACACACCUCUUGUUAAUUUCUGUCAUUUGAUUUUCUUUAAUUCAUCUGAUCCGACAGUCGAAAUUUAAAAAGGUGUGUGAGAAGUUAAAAAUGGUGUAUGGAUAUUACAUCUCUAAAAGUAUGAGGAAGAGUAUGAUGUGCUUAUUUAUUUUGCAUGGUGAAAUAGGCAAAAUGUACAUAAGAAAAGAAAUCGUGGAGGGGAGUAUGAAGAAAUGAGAGUUCAGUCAAUUAUCUUUUGGAUAAGGAUUGUCUGCCCUCCUAGUUGUGGUGUCCUUCCAUGCCCUCCUAUUUUGUGCAGUCACGGUUAAGCCACGUUAAUAUUUUAUAUUAAUUUUUUAAUGAGAUAAUAAGACAAAAAACAAUAAAAAUAUAAAAUAUUGACGUGGCUUAACCGUGACCGCACAAAAUAGGAGGGCAUGGAAGGGCACCACAACUAGGAGGGCAGACAAUCCUUGUCCUUAUCUUCUCCGAUCCUAGUUGAUAUAAUUUUCCUUUUAUGUGAAUUAUUAUGGAUUUUAAUGUGAAACACGUAUUAGUAUUUAUUUAUUACGAGCAAGUAAACACAUGAGAAGUUUUGAGUAGCAAGUGAAGAAUUAUUAGAAUAAUUUUAGUAUUCAUUAUGUGUGGCUCGUGUCAUUAUUUAAUUCUAAUGCAUAUUUAAACGAUUAAACAAUUUUUAGAUAUAAGUUUGUAGACUUAGAGAUGAUAUGGUCAAUCAAGAUAAUCAAAAUCUAUUAUGAUCCUACAUCGGCUACAUCAGAAAUGGUGUAGUGGUACUUAAGUUCUUUGGGUCCUCCCACCUAUCAAGCAGUCUUUUGGGUUGGGCUCUUCCCUUGGGUUUGAGUACCUAACAUUGGUAUAAGAGCCUAGGUUCUUGACGAUGCGAAGGGGGUGACCUGGAUAGGGCUACCUUAAUGGGACGACCAACAGGAUGCGCUACCGUUAAGAGUGAAAGCCACUAUAAUAAGGGCCACCGUAUACGUCGGGUCCCGACGCUGCAGAGAGGGCGACCUGGAAAUUGCUACCUUAACAAGACGACCAAAGGAGGGUGCGCCGCCAUUAAGAGUAAAAGCCACCAAAGUAAAAACCGUCGUGGACGUUAGGUCUUCCAAAGGGUGGUGUGAUGUUAUGAUCCCACAUCGGCUACACUAGAAAUGAUGUAGUUGUACUUAAGUCAUUGAGAUCCUCCCACGUAUCAAGCUAGUCUUUUGGGUUGGGCUUUUUCCUUAGGCUUGAGUACCUAACAAAAUCACGAAGAUAAGGUAUUGAAAAUGAUUAAGAUAAUAUUUUUAAAAUUUGGAAAUCAAAUUAGAUGCAAGUUCGAGGUUAGAUCGAUGUGCUUAUUUGCCAAUUACAUAAAUGACAAAUAUACUUAUAGAUCUAUAGUCGAGAAAAUAAAUUAGUAUUGAACUAGCUAUUUGCUAGAUUCAAAUUGACAACCUCUAACUUAUAAGUUAAAAAAAUAUAUAAAUUGGUUGUAGUACUAAGUGACGAGUUGUAUAUCUUUAAACUUGCAGUAGUUAAUUUAGGUUUUAAUAAAACCUAUUUCUUCAUAGAUACCGUCAUACCUAACGAUUGAACUCAUGUUACCAAAAUAAUCAAAUUGAGUUUAAGAUAGUAGUUGUAUUUAAUAUAGGUUUGCUUCUCUGCCAGCAUGCCAUGCAUAUGCAAAGCUUAGGAUUCUAGGUAUGUGGGGGCGAGCGAUGAUUUUUGUCGAAGGGAUGCAUCAUGCAGAUAAAUCAUACCCGUCAUUUCCCAAACUAUCAAAAUCAGGCCAUAUUCCUCAAAGCAAAUUGAAGAGGAUCGAAUAUACAUGAUAGUGAUAAUUACGUGGUACAAUGGAAAUGCAAUAAAAUUCCAAGUCAGAUUUGUUCUACUCAAAAUGAGAGUUUCCCCCUUAAAACUUAUUUUCUCUCACUUAAAACCCAUCCUCUUUAUUUUUUCAGACAUAAACCCCAUUUACUAGAGUCAUUAACAAGCUUGGUAUGUCAGUUUUUAUAAUUCUCGUGUUCCUAAAAUACCCUCAUAGAAUGUAACAUGGGUUAUAUAAUUAAUAAUAAAUUUUUCAUUUUAUUAUUUUCAAUGCAAUUAAAUGUCAACUAACCUAUUAUUUGAUUAGGCUUUUUUUUUCUCAAAUUUUUUUACCAAAAAUAUCAUGAAACUAGCUUACCUUAUUAGCAUGCAAUAUAUAAUAUAAAUAAAAAAAUAUUAUGGUGUUUUACGUUGAGACAUGGACAAAAAUACAACAACAACAACAACAACAACAAAGCCUUUUCCCACUAAGUGGGGUCGGCUAUAUGAAUCCUAGAACGCCAUUGCGCUCGGUUUUGUGUCAUGUCCUCCGUUAGAUCCAAGUACUCUAAGUCUUUCUUAGAGUCUCUUCCAAAGUUUCCUAGGUCUUCCUCUACCCCUUUGGCCCUGACCUCUGUCCGUAUCACAUCUUCGAACCGGAGCGUCAGUCGGCCUUCUUGCACAUGUCAAAUCAUCGGAGCCGAUUUCUCUCAUCUUUCCUACAAUUUCGGCUACUCCUACUUUACCUCGAUAUCCUCAUUCCCAAUCUUAUCCUUCUCGUGUGCCCACACAUCCCACGAAGCAUCCUCAUCUCCGCUACACCCAUUUUGUGUACGUGUUGAUGCUUCACCGCCAACAUCUGUGCCAUACAACAUCGCUGGCCUAUUGCCGUCCUAUAAAAUUUUCCUUGAGCUUCAGUGCCUACGACGGUCACACAACACGCCGAUGCACUCUACAACUUCAUCCAUCCAGCUCGUAUUCUAUGGUUGAGAUCUCCAUCUAAUUCUCCGUUCUCUUGCAGAUAAUCCAUGGUAGCGAAACGGUCGCUUUUUGUGAUCUUCGCUAGAUUGCUCCGGUCAUUAGUGUGAAGUAUAAUAUGGAUAGAGAUAGGAAAGCAAAACACAAGUGUACGUGUUCACCAGAUUGGCUACGUCCACGAUAGAAGAGUUCUCAUUAAUUGUUGAAGGGUUUUACACAAGUACAUAGGUUCAAGCUCUCCUUUAGUGAUACAAGUGAAUGAUUUAUACAAAUGACAUUAGGAAAUAUUGUGGGAGAAUGAUUCGUAAUCACGAAACUUCUAAGUAUCGGAGUGUGUGUCGUCUUGACUUGCCUUAUCUGUCUCAUAGGUAGAUGUGGCAUCUUCUCUGGAAGUACUCUUCCUCCAUCCAGGGUGGAUCUUUAAACUGGUGGAGAUGCACAAGGUAAUGUAUCAAUUUCACUUGAAGCUUACUUGUAGUCUCAGGCCUGGUCAAUCGCGAUACAAAACCAUGUAGUAGGAGUCCCCCAAGUCGCCGAGCUAGGGGGUCUGCUGAAAGAGGUGACAGACAAGGUAAGCAAUCAGAGCUCCGACUGAUUGUUCCUUCUCCCCAUCUUGCAGCAGCAUGAGAUAAAGAGAAGAAAAUGAGAAAGAUGAUAUGAGAUACUUUGCUUUGAAGAAGUAACUUUCCACAGGCUUAUUCUUGAACUGAGCUGGAGGUUUUUCUGGUUUCCUCCAGAGUAUAAAGGCCGACUGAAGAAUUUGAGGUCAACAAGUCCAUCAAAUCUAGAGUACGUCCACCCUCUGAUAUGGGAUACUUUGCUUUUGACAGAGUAAUGGGUGUAUCGGCACGUGUGCUGUACGCUUGUCUCCACAUGCUUCCUUGUAUCCUUCGCACUUCCCUAUCUGUCCUCAAGCAGAUGCGGAAUCUUCCCUGGAAACAUAAGAUGUUGAAGAUGAGUACUCGAGAGCAAUGCCAGGUAAUAAUCAGGUAAGGUUCCAGGCAGUCAGUUCCUGGCUGGAAGCUUGAUCCAAGUGCUGACUGAUUCUCCUUUCUCCUUGUCUUGCAGGUAAAACAAGCCAAAGGAAAAGACAGGGAAAAGCAUGAUAUGGAUACUCUUGCUUUAACCCUGAUGAUAUGAAUAUUCUUGCUCUAGUAUAGCUUGUUUGCAGAGGUAUUAUCGGGGGAAAGAAAGCUGAAUAUUUCAAAGGCUUCGUUGGAGUGCCUCUCAUAUAUGAUGAAGGUUUGAGCAUUUUUGCAGUCUGCCUGUCCGUUGGGAUGGAGGUCGACAUAUAUAGGAGUCCCCUAACAACAGUAUAAUCAUUCAUUUACCCUGCUUGGUCAUAGCACGGUAGUGGAGCUGCCAGUUUCACAUGUUUUAACUCUGUCAGAGCACUUUUGAAAAAGUGGUCUGUGGUAUCUGGCUAUCGAGAUUCGGAGAACGUGCCUCUUCGAUUUUUGAGAAGCAAUCAUGCUGGGGGUCUGGUCUCGAGAUUCGUAGAGCAGUGUCUCUUCGAUUUUUGAGGAAGUAAUCAUGUUGGGAGUCUGGCUCUCGAGAUUCGGAGGCGGUGCCUCUUCGAUUUUGGAGCAAGCAAUCCUGUUGGGAGUGUUGUCUCGAAUGUGAGUAAAGGUUGGGCAUGUUGCUAGUCUACCUUGCCACAAGCACAAAGGUUGACACACAGAGACUUUCCAAUUAUCAGCAAUGGUACUGUUCUUUACCCUCUCUUCGCUUUUGAGAAGUAGUCAUGUUGGGAGUCUAUCUCUCGAGAUUCGGAGGACGGCCUCUUCGAUUUUGGAGCAAGCAAUCUUGUUGGGAGUGUUUCUCGAAAGUGAGUAAAGGUUGGGCAUGUUGCUAGUCUACCUGCCACGAGCACAGAGGUUGACACACAGGGACUUUCCAAUAAUCCAGCAGUGGUACUGUUCCUUUACCCUUGUGGGUAAUAAUAGGUAGCUAGACCUUCAAAAUUUAUGUGUCUAAACUUUGUUAGUGAUGUUUCUUUGCUAUUCUUUUACCUUUCUUGGUCAGAGCGAUGUAGUGGAGCUGCAAGCUUCACGUGCUUAACUUUGGCAGAGAAACUUUGGCAAGUUAUCUGGGU